CAUCUAGUCUAGGCAGCAAAAAUCAUGCUAAGAUGUGUACGACACAGUUACACUACAUCCAUACCUGGUCCUAAGUUAAGGGUUUAAGUAAAAAGGGCAUUUUCAAUAAAUCAAAGUAAAGCAGAUGAGCCUAAAAAGGAAACUCAUGUACUGCAAUUCCGGCACCUCGCCGCAAAAUCCAAAAUUCCCGUUUGCUACCCGGCUUGUAGCAGGAAAAAGGAGUAGAAUUGAACUUGUCGAUACACACGUAAUCAUGUGAGCUGCCUAGCGUUUGGAGACUAUGUUGGCUCUCUUGUAAAAUUAAUCUUGGCUGAAUUGGAUUCUUAGGCAUUGGCGUCUUGGUGAGUUAAGCUGCAGUUUCCGACGAGUAACAUUGGUUAGUGAACUCUUGUGUGUAUGUGUGGGUGAAGCUUUGAGCUAAGCAAGUCCUCAAUGUACCGACUAUCAAGUCAUAUUGUAAUCAAUAUCAGAUAUGAAUGAAAAAUUGUUGGCCUGAAUUUGUGCAGAGCAUUUGAGUAAUCUUUUUGCAUCGAUUUAUUCUUGUAUGCUUCUAUGGCUUCUUAAAACAUUCCGGCGUUCUGGUUGGAAAAGUGUUGUACCCGAGGUACGAUCCAAUGGAUUGACCUCUGAUGUCACAAUACUUCCUUAGUGGUGAUGCAGAUAACCAUGUUUGGAACAGUUAUCAGCUAGAAGAUUUUUUGGUUUGAGAUACAGCAAUCUACCUGUCAAGAAUGUGAACUCUUGUGUGUGUAUGUGUUGGUGAAGCCUUGAGCUAAGCAAGCCCUCAAUGUACCAAAUAUCAAGUUGUAGUGUAAUCAAUUUCAGAUAUGAAUGAAAAAUUGUUAGCCUGAAUUUGUGCAGAGCAUUUGAGUAACUUUCUGUAUAUGUUUGUUGUAGAAGAUUUGUUGGUUUGAGAAUGUGGAAAAGUUUGCAUCAUAGUGCUGCUAUCUGACAAAUAGGUUUGGCUUUUCUCAGAUCAUGUUAGCUUUCCACUUGGAUUACAUUUUCAGACUCCCUGCUCUUGCACCACUGGGCAUGUGAACUGGCAUGUUCAUCGCUCCAAGUAUCUAUCUCGUGACACUAUCAUCGGUCAUGUUAUUGGUCUCCUCAUUUCUUUCUUGAGUAUUCCUUCCCACAUCAACUCAUCCAGCGCUGGAUCUGGUUGGUCAAUUUUAAGGUUACUCAAAAUUCUCAUGUCGAACCAGCAACUGAUAGUAUGUCACAUGGCAAACCAAUUUAGAUUAUCAUCAGCAAGAUCCUCUGUAAAAGUUAUCCAGUAGUCCAUUGUUUAUCUGCAUUUCAGAGAACACGGUGGUUCAGUACGUUGUUGAUCUCAUUGUCAUUGCCGUUUAUCCUUGCUCACCAAAAGACAAUUCCGUGCUACUGUUGCAUGUGUAAUGCAUAUGGUGAAGCUUCUCCCAUCGUCAACUCUGCUGCAUUUUUUCUGCGGAGUGCUGGAUGGUGAAACAUAACAUCACGGUCUCCAAGCUCUUUCUGAACUUCUUUUAGGUCUCCAAACAAACUGUCCUGAACUCUGAUGUGCAGUUGUUUUUAUUCCUUGAGAGCGUGAGAUUCUACAAAUUAGUAGGCAUUAGAAUUUAUAUUUUCUUAUGUGAGUUUGUACAAAUUAGGAAAGAUGUCAAAUUAAAGAGCCGUGCUGGAAAAAAAAAUCGAAGUGCAAAAAUACAUAUAAAAUAGAAUUACUGAAAGGCCUAGACACAGGAACGUGGAAAACAAAAGUCAACAAAUGAAAUUCUUGACAAAAGCUAUAAUGGGUGUCGAUGACCAAAAAAAUGCUACAAUGGGCGUGGAAUACCUCGAGAAAAUCAUCGAAUUCUGCUUGCAUUUUAGGAGCUUUGCUGCCCGAAGCUUCACGAAACAAGCGACCCAGGACAAAAACGCCCACAGCAGUGAACACAAGUAGCUCAAGAAAUAAUGCAGAUAAAAGGGCAGGUACAUAUUUCCAAAGCUGUUUUUGGCAUAUGCACCACCACAGUGACCAUCAUACAUGAAUAGAGAUCCUGAAUGCUCAGUAUAGACUCUAGUUUUAGUUCCCAAAAGGAAAUGACGAAUUAGAUAUACCUCAAUGGUAGCUAAUCCAUGUGACACAAUCUCAACCAUCCGAGAUCUUGUCUGCAAUCACACAGGUCGGGUCACAGUAAAAAUUCUAGAGUUAAUAUUCCAUUUACUAAAUGGGAAUAAGAGACCCUAAAUGAGCCAGAACCACUGUUACUAAAAUAUCUUCUGUAUAGUUGGUUCAUUAACAUAUUUUCAUCAAGAACAACUACAUACGUUUAUAUUAAUCAAACCCAUCAAGGUCUAUACAGCUACAUUGUCAUAUUGUCAGAAAUGCUAUGGAAAGCUAGCAAAGUGAGCAAUACUGAUUUAAAAAAGUUGGAAACUAGGAUCCUUUUCUCUUUUAGCAUUGCGGUAGAUUAUGAUAAUUCCAUUGAGCCGCUUUUACAUAUUCAUUUAUUUUGUUUGUUGUGUUCCAAAUCAUACGAGGACAAUCACUGGAAAACUGAAUUUAUCUAUUGAUCAGAUUUACUAAAAGGAGUAAUAGACUUACUGGAAACAGCGAAAAAGGUCUCUAAUCAUGAUGUUCAAGGUCUCUACAGCUACAAUGCAGAAUUAUUCACAAGUAUCCAGUGGAGUGCAUGGAUUACUCUGGAAAAAACUCUGUUUCGGCACAGUGCAAUAGAAACCUAGAAAAAAAAGAGCAAUACUGAUUUAGGAAGUUAGAAACUAGGCUCAUUUUACUCUUUUAGCAUUACGGUAGAUUAUGAAGUUCCGCCGAACACUUUAGAUAGUCGUAUGUUCCGUUUAUCGUGUUCCAACACUAUAUGAGAGCAAUCACUGGAAAACAGCCGACCCGCAGCUCCAGCGCUCGUGACUCUCCGCUAGGGUUUUCCUCCGCCGCCGCCGACCCCUCCCGCCGCCGCCGGCCGCCGGGCGCGCGUAGGGGCGGGCACGGUUAAACCGAAAACCGAAAAACCAACCGAACUGUAUUAACCGAUAUGUCGGUUAAUUCGGUGGUUUGGUUUUUGGUUCGGUGGGAAAUUUUAAGGUUGUUCGGUGUUUGGUUUGUGUUCGGUUUUCAGUGCCUAGAAACCGAAUAGACUGAACAAACCGAUAUGUAGGAUGCCCCGUCUAAUACCAUGUUCACUCCAUCAUGCGAAGGUCUCUCCAAAAGGUAAAUUAGGCGGGGACGGAGGGAGUACCAGUGUACCAUUUAGUGCAUGAGCUGCUCAAUUUAGAGGCAUCAUGUGUAUUCUUCCGUAUAUGAUACAUGGCACGUUCGAUGUGAUUUUUCCACUUAAUUAUGUUCACUAGUUUGCUUGACCGAAUAAAACAUUGCCUGAUGUUAAGGUUGCUAGCUCUUGUGACUGUUUUUUGCAUUCUACACAAUGCAAAUUAGCGCUCAUGAAUCAUUACACUUAUACUGACGAGUGCAUGUCUUUCGGUUUUUUGGUUAACCGAAGAAAGCAAACCGAUAUAUUAUGGUUAAUAUGGUUCGGUUUCUUAAUUUUGUGUGAUUGUUUCGGUUUCCAUUUCUUCAAAACCGAAAUUAUUAAAAACCGAAUAAACCGAACCGUAUUAACCAUAUAAACCGAACACCCAGUCCUAGGCGCGCGCCUCCCGGCCCCUCCCGCGCCCCCUCCACCUCCCCCCUCCCGGUCCCGCCCCUGCGCCGCCUCCCCGGGAGGUGGCCGGGGCGGCGCUGUUGGAGAACGUAGUAAUUUCAAAAAAAUUCCUACCCACACGCAAGAUCAUGGUGAUGCAUAGCAACAAGAGGAGAGAGUGUUGUCCACGUACCCUCGUAGACCAAAAGCGAAAGCGUUAGCACAACGCGGUUGAUGUAGUCGUACGUCUUCAUGAUCCGACCGAUCAAGUACCGAACGUACGGCACCUCCGAGUUCGCACACGUUCAGCUCGAUGACGUCCCUCAAACUCCGAUCCAGCCGAGCUUUGAGGGAGAGUUCCGUCAGCACGACGGUGUGGUGACGAUGAUGAUGUUCUACUGACACAGGGCUUCGCCUAAGCACCGCUACGAUAUUAUCGAGGUGGAUUAUGGUGGAGGGGGGCACCGCACACAGCCAAGAGAUCCAAGGGAUCAAUUGUUGUGUCUCCAAGGGGUGCCUCCCUCCCCGUAUAUAAAGGAGUGGAGGAGGGGGAGGGGGCCGGCCACCCUAGGCGCGCCCCAUGAGGAGUCCUACUCCCACCGGGAGUAGGACCCCCCCUUCCAAGUGGGAGUAGCAGAGGAGAGGGAAGGAGAGAGAGGGGGAAAGGAAAGGGGGGUGCCGCCCCCCUCCUUGUCCAAUUCGGACUAGGGGGAAGGGGGCGCGCGACUGCCCUUGUCCGCCCCUCCUCUUCUCCACUAGGGCCCAAUAGGCCCAUUAGUCUCCCCGGGGGGUUCCGGUAACCCCCCGGUACUCCGGUAUAUGCCCGAUACUCCCCAAAACCAUUCCAGUGUCUGAACACAGUCGUCCAAUAUAUCAAUCUUUAUGUCUCGACCAUUUUGAGACUCCUCGUCAUGUCCAUGAUCACAUCCAGGACUCCGAACUACCUUCGGUACAUCAAAACAUAUAAACUCAUAAUAUAACCGUCAUCUAACUUUAAGCGUGCGGACCCUACGGGUUCGAGAACUAUGUAGACAUGACCGAGACACGUCUCCGGUCAAUAACCAAUAGCGGAACCUGGAUGCUCAUAUUGGCUCCCACAUAUUCUACGAAGAUCUUUAUCGGUCAAACCGCAUAACAACAUACGUUGUUCCCUUUGUCAUCGGUAUGUUACUUGCCCGAGAUUCGAUCGUCGGUAUCUCAAUACCUAGUUCAAUCUUGUUACCGGCAAGUCUCUUUACUUGUUACGUAAUGCAUCAUCCCGUAACUAACUCAUUAGCUACAUUGCUUGCCAGGCUUAUAGUGACGUGCAUUACCGAGAGGGCCUAGAGAUACCUCUCCGACAAUCGGAGUGACAAAUCCUAAUCUUGAAAUACGUCAACUCAACAAGUACCUUCGGAGACACCAGUAGAGCACCUUUAUAAUCACCCAGUUGCGUUGUGACCGUUUGGUAGCACACAAAGUGUUCCUCCGGUAAGCGGGAGUUACAUAAUCUCAUAGUCAUAGGAACAUGUAUAAGUCAUGAAAAAAGCAAUAGCAACAUACUAAACGAUCAAGUGCUAAGCUAACGAAAUGGGUCAAGUCAAUCACAUCAUUCUCCUAAUGAUGUGAUCCCACUGAUCAAAUGAUAACUCAUAUCUAUGGUUGGGAAACUCAACCAUCUUUGAUCAAUGAGCUAGUCAAGUAGAGGCAUACCAGUGACACUAUGUUUGUCUAUGUAUUCACACAUGUAUUAUGUUUCCAGUUAAUACAAUUCUAGCAUGAAUAAUAAACAUUUAUCAUGAUACGAGGAAAUAAACAAUAACUUUAUUAUUGCCUCUAGGGCAUAUUUCCUUCAGUCUCCCACUUGCACUAGAGUCAAUAAUCUAGAUUACAUAGUAAUGAUUCUAACACCCAUGGAGCCUUGGUGCUGAUCAUGUUUUGCUCGUGGAAGAGCCUUAGUCAACGGGUCUGCAACAUUUAGAUCCGUAUGUAUCUUGCAAAUCUCUAUGUCUCCCACCUGGACUUGGUCUCGGAUGGAAUUGAAGCGUGUCUUGAUGUGCUUGGUUCUCUUGUGAAAUCUGGAUUCCUUUGCCAAGGCAAUUGCACCAGUAUUGUCACAAAAGAUUUUCAUUGGACCGAUGCACUAGGUAUGCCACCUAGAUCGGAUAUGAACUCCUUCAUCCAGACUCCUUCAUUUGCUGCUUCCGAAGCAGCUAUGUACUCCGCUUCACAUGUAGAUCCCGCCACGACGCUUUGUUUAGAACUGCACCAACUGAUAGCUCCACCGUUCAAUAUAAACACGUAUCCGGUUUGCGAUUUAGAAUCGUCCAGAUCAGUGUCAAAGCUUGCAUCGACGUAACCAUUUACGACUAGCUCUUUGUCACCUCCAUAAACGAGAAACAUAUCCUUAGUCCUUUUCAGGUAUUUCAGGAUGUUCUUGACCGCUGUCCAGUGAUCCACUCCUGGAUUACUUUGGUACCUCCCUGCUAAACUAAUAGCAAGGCACACAUCCGGUCUGGUACACAACAUUGCAUACAUAAUAGAGCCUAUGGCUGAAGCAUGGGGAACAUCUUUCAUUUUCUCUCUAUCUUCUGUAGUGAUCGGGCAUUGAGUCUGACUCAAUUUCACACCUUGUAUUACAGGCAAGAACCCUUUUUUUGCUUGAUCCAUUUUGAACCUUUUCAAAACUUUAUCAAGGUAUGUACUUUGUGAAAGUCCAAUUAAGCGUCUUGAUCUAUCUCUAUAGAUCUUGAUUCCCAAUAUAUAAGCAGCUCCACCGAGGUCUUUCAUUGAAAAACUUUUAUUCAAGUAUCCUUUUAUGCUACCCAGAAAUUCUAUAUCAUUUCCAAUCAACAAUAUGUCGUCCACAUAUAAUAUUAGAAAUGCUACAGAGCUCCCACUCACUUAAUACAGGCUUCUCCAAAAGUCUAUAUAAAACCAUAUCCUUUGAUCACACUAUCAAAGCGUUUAUUCCAACUCUGAGAGGCUUGCACCAGUCCAUAAAUGGAUCGCUGGAGCUUGCACACUUUGUUAACACUUUUUGAAUCGACAAAACCUUCUAGUUGCAUCAUAUACAACUCUUCUUCCAGAAAUCCAUUCAGGAAUGCAGUUUUGACAUCCAUUUGCCAAAUUUCAUAAUCAUAAAAUGCGGCAAUUGCUAACAUGAUUCGGACAGACUUAAGCAUCGCUACGGUUGAGAAAGUCUCAUCGUAGUCAACCCCUUGAACUUGUCGAAAACCUUUCGCAACAAGUCGAUCUUUGUAGACAGUAACAUUACCAUCAGCGUCAGUAUUCUUCUUGAAGAUCCAUUAAUUCUCGAUGGCUUGCCGAUCAUCAAGCAAGUCAACCAAAGUCCAUACUUUGUUCUCAUACAUGGAUCCCAUCUCAGAUUUCAUGGCCUCAAGCCAUUUUGCGGAAUCUGGGCUCAUCAUCGCUUCCUCAUAGUUCGUAGGUUCGCCAUGGUCAAGUAACAUGACCUCCAGAAUAGGAUUACCGUACCACUCUAGGGCGGAUCUUACUCUGAUUGACCUACGAGGUUCGGUAGUAACUUGAUCUGAAGCUUCAUGAUUAAUAUCAUUAGCUUCCUCACUAAUUGGUGUAGCCGUCACAGGAGCCGGUUUCUGUGAUGAACUAUUUUCCAAUAAAGGAGCAGGUACAAUUAUCUCAUCAAGUUGUACUUUCCUCCCACUCACUUCUUUCGAGAGAAACUCCUUCUCUAGAAAGGAUCCAUUCUUGGCAACGAAUGUCUUGCCUUCGGAUCUGUGAUAGAAGGUGUACCCAAUAGUUUCCUUUGGGUAUCCUAUGAAGACACAUUUCUCCAAUUUGGGUUCGAGCUUAUCAGGUUGAAGCUUUUUCACAUAAGCAUCGCAGCCCCAAACUUUAAGAAAUGACAACUUUGGUUUCUUGCCAAACCAUAGUUCAUAAGGCGUCGUCUCAACGGAUUUUGAUGGUGCCCUAUUUAACGUGAAUGCAGCCGUCUCUAAAGCAUAACCCCAAAAUGAUAGCGGUAAAUCAGUAAGAGACAUCAUAGAUCGCACCAUAUCUAGUAAAGUACGAUUACGACGUCUGGACACACCAUUACGCUGUGGUGUUCCGGGUGGCGUGAGUUGCAAAACUAUUCCGCAUUGUUUCAAAUGUAGACCAAACUCGUAACUCAAAUAUUCUCCUCCAUGUUCAGACCGUAGAAACUUUAUUUUCUUGUUACGAUAAUUUUCAACUUCAUUUUGAAAUUCUUUGAACUUUUCAAAUGUUUCAGACUUAUGUUUCAUAAGUAGAUAUACCCAUAUCUGCUUAAAUCAUCUGUCAAGGUGAGAAAAUAACGAUACCCGCCGCGAGCCUCAACAUUCAUUGGACCACAUACAUCAGUAUGUAUGAUCUCCAACAAAUCAGUUGCUCGCUCCAUAGUUCGUAGAACGGCGUUUUUGUCAUCUUGCCCAUGAGGCAUGGUUCGCAAGUACCAAGUGAUUCAUAAUCAAGUGAUUCCAAAAGUCCAUCAGUAUGGAGUUUGUUCAUGCGCUUUACACCGAUAUGACCUAAACGGCAAUGCCACAAAUAAGUUGCACUAUCAUUAUCAACUCUGCAUCUUUUGGCUUCAACAUUAUGAAUAUGUGUAUCACUACUAUCGAGAUUCAAUAAAAAUAGACCACUCUUCAAGGGUGCAUGACCAUAAAAGAUAUUACUCAUAUAAAUAGAACAACCAUUAUUCUCUGAUUUAAAUGAAUAACCGCCUCGCAUCAAACAAGAUCCAGAUAUAAUGUUGAUGCUCAACGCCGGCACCAAAUAACAAUUAUUUAGGUCUAAAACUAAUCCCAAUGGUAGAUGUAGAGGUAGCGUGCCGACCGCGAUCACAUCGACUUUGGAACCAUUUCCCACGCGCAUCGUCACCUUGUCCUUAGCCAAUGCUCACUUAAUUCGUAGUCCCUGUUUUGAGUUGCAAAUAUUAGCAACAGAACCAGUAUCAAAUACCCAGGUGCUACUACAAGCUCUGGUAAGGUACACAUCAAUAACCUGUAUAUCACAUAUACCUUUGUUCACCUUGCCAUCCUUCUUAUCCGCCAAAUACUUGGGGCAAUUCCGCUUCCAGUGACCAGUGUGCUUGCAGUAGAAGCACUCAGUCUCAGGCUUAGGUCCAGACUUGGGUUUCUUCUCUUGAUCAGCAACUUGUUUGCUGUUCUUUUUGAAGUUCCCCUUCUUCUUCCCUUUGCCCUUUUUUCUUGAAACUGGUGGUCUUAUUGACCAUCAACACUUGAUGCUCCUUCUUGAUUUCUACCUCCGCAACCUUUAGCAUUGCGAAGAGCUCGGGAAUUGUCUUAUCCAUCCCUUGCAUGUUAUAGUUCAUCACGAAGCUCUUGUAGCUUGGUGGCAGUGAUUGAAGAAUUCUGUCAACGACACUAUCAUCAGGAAGAUUAACUCCUAGUUGAAUCAAGUGAUUGCAAUACCCAGACAUUUUGAGUAUAUGUUCACUGACAGAACUAUUCUCCUCCAUCUUGCAGCUGUAGAACUUAUUGGAGACUUCAUAUCUCUCAAUCCGGGCAUUUGCUUGAAAUAUUAACUUCAACUACUGGAACAUCUCAUAUGCUCCAUGACACUCAAAACGUCGUUCAAGUCCCGGUUCUAAGCCGUAAAGCAUGGCACACUGAACUAUAGAGUAGUCAUCAACACGCAACUGCCAGGCAUUCACAAUGUCUGCAGUAGCUGGCGCAGGUGAUACACCUAGCGGUGCUUCCAGGACGUAACUCUUCUAUGCAGCAAUGAGGAUAAUCCUCAAGUUACGGACCCAGUCCGUGUAAUUGCUACCAUCAUCUUUCAACUUUGCUUUCUCAAGGAACACAUUAAAAUUCAAUGGAACAACAGCAUGAGCCAUCUAUCUACAACAACAUGGACAUGCAAAAUACUAUCAGGUACUAAGUUCAUGAUAAAUUUAAGUUCAAUUAAUCAUAUUACUUAAGAACUCCCACUUAGAUAGACAUCCCUCUGAUCAUCUAAGUGAUCACGUGAUCCAAAUCAACUAAACCAUAACCGAUCAUCACGUGAAAUGGAGUAGUUUUCAAUGGUGAACAUCACUAUGUUGAUCAUAUCUACUAUAUGAUUCACGCUCGACAUUUCGGUCUCAGUGUUCCGAGGCCAUAUCUGCAUAUGCUAGGCUCGUCAAGUUUAACCUGAGUAUUCUGCGUGUGCAAAACUGGCUUGCACCCAUUGUAGAUGGACGUAGAGCUUAUCACACCUGAUCAUCACGUGGUGUCUGGGCAUGACGAACUUUGGCAACGGUGCAUACUCAAGGAGAACACUUUUAUCUUGAAAUUUAGUGAGAGAUCAUCUUAUAAUGCUGCCGUUAAUCAAAGCAAGAUAAGAUGCAUGAAAGAUAAACAUCACAUGCAAUCAAUAUAAGUGAUAUAUAUGGCCAUCAUCAUCUUGUGCUUGUGAUCUCCAUCUCCGAAGCACCGUCAUGAUCACCAUCGUCACUGGCGCGACACCUUGAUCUCCAUCAUAGCAUCGUUGUCGUCUCGCCAACUAUUGCUUCUAUGACUAUCGCUACCGCUUAGUGAUAAAGUAAAGCAAUUACAGGGCAAUUGCAUUGCAUACAAUAAAGCGACAACCAUAUGGCUCCUGCCAGUUGCCGAUAACUCGGUUACAAAACAUGAUCAUCUCAUACAAUAAAAUAUAGCAUCACGUCUUGACCAUAUCACAUCACAACAUGCCCUGCAAAAACAAGUUAGACGUCCUCUACUUUGUUGUUGCAAGUUUUACGUGGCUGCUAUGGGCUGAGCAAGAACCGUUCUUACCUACGUAUCACAAUGAUAGUUCGUCAAGUUAGUGCUGUUUUAACCUUCUCAAGGACCGGGCGUAGCCACACUCGGUUCAACUAAAAGAAACUUACACCCGCUAGUCACCUGUGUGCAAAGCACAGCGGUAAAACCAGUCUCGCGUAAGCGUACCCGUAAUGUCGGUCCGGGCCACUUCAUCCAACAAUACCUCCGAACCAGAGUGUGACAUGUUGGUAAGCAGUAUGACUUGUAUCGCCCACAACUCACUGUGUUGUACUCGUGCAUAUAACAUCUACGCAUAAAACCUGGCUCGGAUGCCACUGUUGGGGAACGUAGUAAUUUCAAAAAAUUUCCUACGCACACGCAAGAUCAUGGUGAUGCAUAGCAACGAGAGGGGAGAGUGUUGUCCACGUACCCUUGUAGACCAAAAGUGGAAGCGUUAGCACAACACGGUUGAUGUAGUCGCACGUCUUCACGAUCCGACCGAUCAAGUACCGAACGUACGACACCUCCGAGUUCAGCACACGUUCAUCUCGAUGACGUCCCUCGAACUCCGAUCCAGCCGAGAUUUGAGGGAGAGUUCCGUAAGCAUGAUGGCGUGGUGACGAUGAUGAUGUUCUACCGACGCAGGGCUUCGCCUAAGCACCGCUAUGAUAUUAUUGAGGUGGAUUAUGGUGGAGGGGGCACCGCACACGGCUAAGAGAUCCAAGGGAUCAAUUGUUGUGUCUCCAAGGGGUGCCUCCCUCCCCGUAUAUAAAGGAGUGGAGGAGGGGGAGGGGGCGUCCACCCUAGGCGCGCCCCAUGAGGAGUCCUGCUCCCACCGGAAGUAGGACUCCCCCCUUCCAGGUGGGAGUAGGAGAGGAGAGGGAAGGAGAGAGAGGGGGAAAGGAAAGGGGGGCGCCCCCCCUUGUCCAAUUCGGACUGGGGAGGAAGGGGGCACGCGGCUGCCCUUGGCCGCCCCUCUUCUUCUCCACUAGGGCCCNNNNNNNNNNNNNNNNNNNNNNNNNNNNNNNNNNNNNNNNNNNNNNNNNNNNNNNNNNNNNNNNNNNNNNNNNNNNNNNNNNNNNNNNNNNNNNNNNNNNNNNNNNNNNNNNNNNNNNNNNNNNNNNNNNNNNNNNNNNNNNNNNNNNNNNNNNNNNNNNNNNNNNNNNNNNNNNNNNNNNNNNNNNNNNNNNNNNNNNNNNNUAUGCCCAAUACUCCCCGAAACCAUUCCGGUGUCCGAACAUAGUUGUCCAAUAUAUCAAUCUUUAUGUCUCGACCAUUUUGAGACUCCUCGUCAUGUCCGUGAUCUCAUCCGAGACUCCAAACUACCUUUGGCACAUCAAAACAUAUAAACUCAUAAUAUAACCGUCAUCUAACUUUAAGCGUGCGGACCCUACGGGUUCGAGAACUAUGUAGACAUGACCGAGACACGUCUGUGGUCAAUAACCAAUAGCGGAACCUAGAUGCUCAUAUUGGCUCCCACAUAUUCUACAAAGAUCUUUAUUGGUCAAACCGCAUAACAACAUACGUUGUUCCCUUUGUCAUUGAUACGUCUCCAACGUAUCUAUAAUUUUUGAUUGUUCCAUGCUAUUAUAUUACCCCUUUUGGAUGAUUAAGGGCUUUAUUAUACACUUUUAUAUAACUUUUGGGACUAACCUAUUAACCGGAGGCCCAGCCCAUAUUGCUGUUUUAUUGCCUGUUUCAAUAUUUCGAAGAAAAGGAAUAUCAAAUGGAGUCCAAACGGAAUGAAACCUUCGGCAGCGUGAUUUUGUGGAAGAAUAUGAUCUUGGAGACUUGGAGUUCACGUCAGAAGAUCCUCGUGGAGGCCAGGAGAUAGGGGGCGCGCCCCCCUACUAGGCGCGCCCCUGUCUCGUGGGCCCCUCGAGCACCCCCCGUCCGACUUCUUUCGCCUAUAUAGUCCCACGUACCCUAAAAACAUCCACGAAGAAGAUAGAUCGGGAGUUCCGCCGCUGCAAGCCUUUGUAGCCACCAAAAACCUCUCGAGAGCCCAUUCCGGCACCCUGCCGGAGGGGGAACCCAUCACCGGUGUCCAUCUUCGUCAUCCUGGCGCUAUCCAUGACGAGGAGGGAGUAGUUCACCCUCGGGGCUGAGGGUAUGUACCAGUAGCUAUGUGUUUGAUCUCUCUCUCUCGCGCGUUCUCUCUAUGGCACGAUCUUGAUGUAUCGUGAGCUUUGUUAUUGUAGUUGGAUCUUAUGAUGUUUCUCCCCCUCUACUCUCUUGUGAUGAAUUGAGUUUCCCUCUUGAAGUUAUCUUAUCGGAUUGAGUCUUUGAUUUGAGAACACUUGAUGUAUGUCUUGCCGUGUUUAUCUGUGGUGACAAUGGGCACGUGCCACUUGAUGUAUGUUUUGGUGACCAACUUGCGGGUUCCGCCCAUGAACCUAUGCAUAGGGGUUGGUGAAAGUGCAACUAUCCCUAGGUGGUUUUGGUAAUUCAUAACAACAUAUAGCUCAUUGAGCUAAUGCUUUUCCAAGACUAUUAUUUCAGGAAAGCUCAAUGAAUGGCAUGGCAUGGAUGAUGAAAGUGGAUCCCUCAAAAUACUAAGGACAAAGAAUUGGCUCAAGCUCAAAAGCUCAAGACUCUUCAUUUUAUAUUUUAGUGAUCCAAGAUCACAUUGAGUCUAUAGGAAAAGCCAAUACUAUCAAGGAGGGAUGAGGUGUUGCUUAAUGAGCCUCUUGCUUCAUGUGCUUUGUGAUAUGCUCCAAAACCCUCAACUACUUUCCCACAUCCACAAAUGACCUAAACCCAAAGCCAAAAUCGGUCACACCGAAUCUUCCUAUCCGGCGCCACCGAUUCCAAAAGUCAUAGCCACUGCCACAAAACCCUAAGCAAAUCGGUCUUACCGAUAGGGAUCUCGAUCUCACCGAGAUGGGGUUGUAAUCUCUCUGUUUCCCUUCGUAACAUUUCGGUCUAACCGAAGUGAGCGAUCGGUCCCACCUAGAUUGCAAUGUAAACUCUCUGUUUCCUUUUUGUAACAUUUCGGUCUUACCGAAAAGAGCAAGUCGGUCCCAUCGAGUUUACCUGACCAACUCUCUGGAAAGCUUAUUACCAAAUCGGUCUCACCGAGUUUGUGUAAUCGAUCUUACCGAGAUUACGUUAUGCCCUAACCCUAACCGAAUCGGUCUCACCGAGAUGCAUGUCAGUCCCACCGAAAAUCACUAAUGGUCACUAGGUUUACUGAAUCGGUCUGACCAAGUUUAACGAUUCGGUCCCACUGAGUUUGGUAAAUUGUGUGUAACGCUUAGAUUUUGUGUGGAGGCUAUAUAUACCCCUCCACCUCCUCUUCAUUCGUGGAGAGAGCCAUCAGAACGAACCUACACUUCCAACUUACCAUUUCUGAGAGAGAACCACCUACUCAUGUGUUGAGGCCAAGAUAUUCCAUUCCUACCAUAUGAAUCUUGAUCUCUAGCCUUCCCCAAGUUGCUUUCCACUCAAAUCUUCUUUCCACCAGAUCCAAAACCUAUGAGAGAGAGUUGAGUGUUGGGGAGACUAUCAUUUGAAGCACAAGAGCAAGGAGUUCAUCAUCAACGCACCAUUUGUUACUUCUUGGAGAGUGGUGUCUCCUAGAUUGGCUAGGUGUCACUUGGGAGCCUUCGACAAGAUUGUGGAGUUGAACCAAGGAGUUUGUAAGGGCAAGCAGAUCGCCUACUUCGUGAAGAUCUACCGCUAGUGAGGCAAGUCCUUCGUGGGCGACGGCCAUGGUGGGAUAGACAAGGUUGCUUCUUCGUGGACCCUUCGUGGGUGGAGCCCCUCAGUGGACUCGCGCAGCCGUUACCCUUCGUGGGUUGAAGUCUCCAUCAACGUGGAUGUACGAUAGCACCACCUAUCGGAACCACGCCAAAAACAUCCGUUCCUCCAGUUGCGUUUGAAUCCUCCAAACCCUUCCCUUUACUUUCUUGCAAGUUGCAUGCUUUAAUUUCCGCUGCCUAUAUACUCUUUGCAUGCUUGCUUGAAUUGUGUGAUGAUUGCUUGACUUGUCCUAAAGUAGCUAAAAUCUGCCAAACUCUAAAAUUGGGAAAAGGUUAAGUUUUUAUUGGUCAAGUAGUCUAAUCACCCCCCCUCUAGACAUACUUCAAGGUCCUACAAGUGGUAUCAGAGCUUUGGUCUCCAUUUGUUUUGAUUUCCAUAGCUUUUGGUGGUCAUAGCCUUGGUUUCACAACCUAGGAGAGUAUGGCGUCUAGCGAGGGAAAUUAUCACCGUAGAGGUCCUUACUUUGAUGGUACUAAUUUUGCUAGUUGGAAGCAUAAGAUGAAAAUGCAUAUUCUUGGACAUAACCCCGCCGUUUGGGUAAUUAUUUGUAUUGGCUUGCAAGGUGAAUUUUUCGAUGGGAGAGAACCGAACCGUAAAGCCAAUGCGGAAGAAUUAAAGAUGCUGCAAUACAGCGCUCAAGCUUGUGAUAUCAUCUUCAACGGAUUGUGCCCCGAGGAAUUCAACAAAAUCAGCUGUCUUGAGAAUGCAAAGGAAAUUUUGGAUACUUUGAUUGAUAUGCAUGAAGGUACCGAGUCCGUCAAGGAAUCCAAGUUGGAUGUGCUCUAAAGUCAGCUUGACAAGUUCAAAAUGAAGGAUGGUGAAGGUGUCGCUGAAAUGUACUCUAGGCUUGCUCUUAUCACAAAUGAGAUUGUCGGCCUAGGGAGUGAAGAGAUGACCGACAAGUUCAUCAUCAAGAAGAUCCUAAGAGCAUUGGAUGGAAAGUAUGAUACCAUAUGCACAUUGAUUCAAAUGAUGCCAAACUACAAAGAUCUCAAGCCAACGGAAGUCAUUGGAAGAAUUGUUGCUCAUGAGAUGUCACUCAAGGAUAAGGAGGAACUUCACAACAAGUCAAGUGGUGCUUACGAAGCCUCAAGUGAAACCCCCACAUCAUCAAGUGAGAAACAAACCUUCAAUGAAGAAUUGAGCUUAAUGGUCAAGAACUUUAACAAAUUCUACAAGAGUAGAAGCAAAGAAAGAAGCUCCAAGUCAAGGUCUUACAAUGACAAAAGAUCUUCUAGUCGAGAGCGCAAUUGCUACAAUUGUGGGAGACCCGGACACUACUCCAAUGAGUGUAUGUCACCCUACAAAAGAAGAGAAGAUUCUCCAAGAAGAAGGAGCAAAAGAGAAGAAUCACCACCAAGAGAGAGGAGGAGUAGAGAUGAUCGUUAUGAAUGAAGACCCUCACGGAGAAGCAAGGAUUCGGAAAGGAAGGACAAGUCAUCAAGGAGCUACACAAAACGAAGACAUCAAGCUCAUAUUGGUGAAUGGGUAUCCGGCUCCAACUCCGACAAUCACUCCGAGAGAAGCUAUCACUCCGACUCCGAAUAUACUCAAGAUGAAGGUGUUGCCGAUCUAGCACUUGUGUCAACCAACUCCUACGACAUAUUUGAUUCACCAAAUGAAGGUGUUGGAAGAUGCUUCAUGGCCAAAGGUCCAAAGGUAACACAUCCUGAGUAUGUUGAUUUCAAUAGUGAUGAAGAUGACUUGCUUGUGGAUGAUGAUUUACUUGUUGACAACUCUAGUGAUGAAUACUAUGAUGAAACGCCAAUUAAUCAUGCUAAUCAAGAUAAAACGAAUGACAAUGAUAAGGAGAAGAUUGAGCUUCUAACCAAAGAACUAAACACUCUUAAGUUAGCUCAUGAAACUAUCUACAAAGAUCAUCGAGAACUUUUAAGGGCUCAUGAGAAGUUACGCUUUGAAAAGCUCAAUCUUUAGCAAGAGCAUGAGUUCUUAAAAGCAAUCAAUGAUGAUCUCCGUAAGAAAAGUUCUUCUUACAUUGCCAAGCGUUUACUCUUAUCUACUUACAUGCCUCAAGUCAAGUCUAGUAACAAGUACAAGAAAGAUACUUCCUCUAGUAGUAACAAUAAUAAUGUCAUAUCCAAUAUUGUUGCUUCUAGUAGUUCUCUUGAUUCCACUAAUGAUUCUCUUAGCCAAGUUACACUUGAGCAAGAAAAUAGCUUAUUGAAGGGAAUUAUAGAGAAAGGUGUUUACAAGAGCCUUGCCAGGAGGAAGCAAUUCGAGGAAAUUGUACGCAAGCAAGGAAGGUACCGGAAGAAUCAAGGUAUUGGUUUUGAACGAAGGUUCAAUGCCAAUGGAGUUGAGUGGGAAGAAGAUCAAUACCCCAAGACGAAGUUUGUUCCUCAACAAGAGAAGUAUGAUCCUACUUCCUUCAAAGGAACACAAGCUCAAGAUGAUCUUCCACCACAAGAACACAAGAACAAAGGCAAGGACAAGCUUCAAGAAGAGAUUGAUGCAUUUGAAGAAGCACCUAAAGCCUUGUUCAAGUGGGUUCCCAAGACUACGUCAAGUUCUACAUCAUCAAGUACAACUACAACUCUAAGGAUUCCCAUCAAGAUGAUGUGGAUCCCGAAUAAGAAGAACUAGAGAGUUCUUGAGGGUGACUCCGCCAACAUUCUUCACUCAUAUCAUUUUGGCAAGAACAAGUGCAAUCAACUUCCACAUCUUGCACUAGUUCAAGGAGUCACAAACCCUCAUGUUGGUAAGGCAAGGGACAAGGUAACCUAAUGAUUUCAUGGACAUCAUCUUGUGUGUGCAUCACUCUAUGUAUAUGGAUAUUCUUGUUUGUUCCUUGUGGGACUAACCCAUGUAGGUAAGUUGAAAGUGCAACUCACUCCAAAGGAUUGCUCCAAAUGAUCUACAUCAACAUUGAGCAUCUACAUCUUCAACACCUACAUGAAGUCAUCAUCGACAAAACCCAAGGUUAGUUCAUCCCUCUAAGGGGGGAUCUCACAUCUAGGGGGAGCUUAACUCUAAGAAUUGAGUCAAAGCAACUCUAAUGGUGUGAACAAAUCAAUGCAUUAUGUAAAAGUGGUAACCCCACUUGAGCUUAAACGAUGAGUAUGACCUAUGAUCAAAUGUUCUCAUUUGACUCCUAAGUCAAUAUACUCAUAUAUAGAUGACCUAGUCAUCGCCAAUUGUUUGAUAGAUGCUAGAAUUGGUUGUGCAUUCUUUGUCACAUGUUUCAUUUGCCAUCUUACUGUGUGAGCAUGUUGGUGCAUAUUUUACUCAUUCAAGGAUAUCCACUUGUUGUUUUGAUUGUUUGGUUUUUCUUCUUGCCAAGUGGAUGGACAAGAAUGCCUAAGAACCUUCUUUAGCUAUCUAUGCUUUUCUCAUCUCAAACUCUAUUCAUGCUACAUCACAAAAGUUGAUCAAGUCAGAUUCGAACCACUCUGUGUGAGGAGCACUCGGAGUCCCCGAUUCGUCAUAGACUUAAACUUCCAAAACCUCUUUGUGACUCUCGGUCUGACCGAUUCCUUCAUUUCGGUCCUACCGAGACCAUUAAGUUGAUCUGAGUUUUCAAUCUCGGUGCAACCGAUUUGAACUGCUCGGUCACACCGAUUUACUGUAACUGUACACAGUUAUGCAUCUCGGUGCCACCGAGUUGUUCCACUCGGUCACACCGACAGGGUCGGGCUAUAUAUAGUCACGGGCAAAAUUUUGGAAAUUUCUCCGAAACCCUUUGCCCGUGCAAUAGCUCGCUCUGCCAUCGGAGGUCUUCGGAUCGUCUCCUCAUCGCCAGCAGCCUCCAAUAGCUGGUCUCCGCUGCCGUCAACGGAUUUCGCCCCCACCGUUGCCGCCGUAGCGAGUCCACCGCCAAAUUAGGGUAUGGACUCAAUCUUUGUGCUAUCCACGUCUGAUUCCUAGCACAUUGUAUUCUUAUGGAUUCUUGCCAUGAUUGAAAAACUUCUAUCCAGCCAAAGUAAUCCGUAGAUUAGAUGAGAUUCAAAUUUUUAGGGUUAGGUUUCCGCCGAAACCAUCUCGGACCCACCGAGUUGAAAAACUCGGUCUCACCGAUUUGGCUUAUGCCAUUGCACUAGUGACUCUCGGUCUGACCGAGAAUUACUAAUCGGUGCGUCCGAUUUGAGGAUUCUGUGAAACCCUAGCAGUCUCGGUGCCAUCGAACUGUGACUCGGUCCAAUCGAGUUCAUCAGUUUAGGUUCCAAAACUGCUUCGGUAUCACCGAGUUUGAAAAUCGGUUGAUCCGAAAUGCUUUCUAUGGAAAACUAAAACUGAACUUUUUGAAUCAUUCUUUUGCAAAAAUCUCUGCAUUUUGUGAUGCUCAUCUAUUCUAUCCCAUCUAUAACUCUUCACAGGGUCAGUAGUCAGCUUUUUGCAGCAUGUCAGACCAGAGUGACAGCCAGAACAGGUCAGAAGAGCAGAUGGAUUUGAGUGUGGGCACUAGUCCCUCAACUAUAGAUGAAGGGAGCAGAAGCACUCCUAGCAACCUGCCCAAGGCUGCUACCAGGCAGAGAAAGAAAAGAACAUCAGACUCAGAGGAUGAGGAUUACAAAGCUGAGGAAGAUGAGGCUACUUCCAAGAAGGUGGUGCUCAAGAAAGAAUAUGGCUCUGCACAUAGCACUAAGCCUGGACUGAAGAAGAAAGUUCCUGCAAAGAGGACACCAAUGCCUAAAGCCAGAAAGUCCACUCAAGUGCCAGCUCAGACAGAUCUCAAAGAGGCACCUGAGAAGAAAGUUACUUCUUCCAAACCUCAGAAAGUUCCCACUUGAGAGACAAUGAAGUUCACAAUUGAAUCAGAGGAUGAAGGUGCUCAGGACAAGAAAAAGAAGAGAGCAAGAACCACAACUGCCAAGGUCCUUGGAAAGCCCUCUAUGAGAAGGGAUGCUGAAGAGGAAGAGGAUGCUGCACCAGCACCUAAGGCACCCAAGCUUAUGGGUGAUGCAAUCAGAUCAGGGGCUACAACAUCCAAGCCCAAAGAAGCACCCAAAGCUGCCUCCAAGGCCAAGCAAGUUCCAAAGAGGAAUACUAGAAGUAUUCCAGCUGCUGAGAAGAACAAGGCCCCAGUACCAAAUGUUGCUGAAGAAGAAGAUGAAGAAGGUCAAGUCCUAAGGAAGCUCAAGCCCAAGAUACCAGACCACAAUGAUGCCCAUCCUGUGGCUGAGGACAUGAGGAUCAGGAAGGAUUCAGGGCUGAGGCUGUGGAGGAUGGAAGAUCCAUAUGCAUCAAGGAGAAGAACUGUUGUUGACUACAGGUUCCAUACAAAGGAACAACAGGACUUCUAUGAGACAAUUCUGUUGGAUAAGAAGCAUAUAGUUUGUGAUAUGAGGUGGGUCGACUGGACCUACAUCAAGGACAAUGAAGAGCACUAUCCUGGAGUGCAAGAAAGCUUUGUUGCUUGUGGAGUUGCUGAUUUUGUUGGACAGAAGUUCACCCACUGGAAUGAUGAACUUAGCAUGCAAUUCUACUCCACAGCACACUUUUACCCAGAUGGAAGAAUUGUUUGGAUGUCUAAAGGUACAAGGUACCAAUCCACUAUUGAAGAAUGGGCAAGUCUGAUAAAUGCCCCCAAGGAAAAUGAGGAUGACCUGGAUAUCUAUGCAAAGAAGAAGAUGGAUCACAAUUCAAUGGCUCACAUGUACAAGGAGAUCCCAGACAAAGCAGUUGAGACUCACAAGUUUGGAUCAGUUCACUUUCUGCUGUCAGGGUUGCCAACCAUUAAUUGGAUUCUAAGGCAUACUCUGUUGCCCAAGUCUGGUGACCAUAACAUGAUCAGAGGGCAUGCCAUCAACAUGUUGCAUGUGUUUGAUGUGCCACAGAAGUUCAAAGUCAUGAGCCUGAUGAUUGAAACAAUCAAGAGGACUGCAGCAGAUCAGAAGAGGAGCUGUGGAUAUGCACCUCAGAUUCAGGAAUUGAUCAACUCAAAGAUGGGCACAGGGAAAUAUCAGUUGGAUAAGGAACAUUUUCCACUUUAUCCAGACUUUAAGGACAAUGAGGUUGUCAUGAAUGAGAAUGAUCCAACAUCAGUUCAAGCUCAGGAGAAGAAGGAGAAGGCAAAGAAGGAGAAGGCUGCCAGGAUGCCAACUCAAGAGGAGGCAUCUGAAUAUUUCUUGAAGACCAAACAGGAGCAGCUUGGUUACUUGAUAGCAUCUAUACUGAGGAUUGAGAAGGGACUGGCCACCCUCACUCAGAAUCAGGAAAGCCUUGAGAGAAUCAUGGAACUCAAAUUCCAUGACCUUGAUGUCAAAGUAACUGAGAUUCAGUCAGUUGUAGAGCAGCUGCAGGAGGACAUGCAGGAGAAGCAGGGCAAGACAACAACCAAUGUGUUUGCCAGAGUGCCCAGAGCCCAGAGGUCAGUUGCAGUGCCAGUGACAGACACUAGAGCAACAACAUCUGCACCAGCCACAGCACCUACAGUUCCAGUGCAACCAGCUCCAGCAUCCACUCCAGCACCCUCUACUUCAACUGAAGCCUUUGUCCUUGGAGUCACCAGGACACACCACCAGAAGAUCAAGCCUGAGAGUCGAUCUAGCACUAUGCAUUUUCUAUGAACUUUUUGGUAACUUGUUGCCAAAGGGGGAGAAAAAUGUAUAGAUCAUAGGCUUCGAGAGAGAGAGUGUUGCUUUUGUUCUCUCUUGCUUUAUUUGGUGGUUUUUAAACUUUGUUUGAUUGGUUGAGAUACUAUGCUUGUGAGACAUUUAUGAUCAUGUGUUUGAUCAUAAGCUACACUUAUGCAUGUUUGAUGAUAUUAUCCUAUCUAUCUUAUGUGAUCAUUCACUAUGCUUGGUGAUGAGUGCAUGUAUUCAAUGUUUAUUAUUUUGAGCACUCCACCAAGAUGUCUGUGACAUGGAAGAGUAACCCAUGAGCCUAAUUCAUUGUGCAUUUGCAAUCCAAAGCAAAUAUUAAACUAUGCACAAAUUUAGGGGGAGCUCUUGCUUAUCACAUACUUCUCAAAGCAACGAUUCAAUCUUAUUAUCAUUUGUCGAAGCUUUGAUCUAUAUGUUGUCAUCAAUUACCAAAAAGGGGGAGAUUGAAAGUGCAACUAUCCCUAGGUGGUUUUGGUAAUUCAUAACAACAUAUAGCUCAUUGAGCUAAUGCUUUUCCAAGACUAUUAUUUCAGGAAAGCUCAAUGAAUGGCAUGGCAUGGAUGAUGAAAGUGGAUCCCUCAAAAUACUAAGGACAAAGGAUUGGCUCAAGCUCAAAAGCUCAAGACUCUUCAUUUUAUAUUUUAGUGAUCCAAGAUCACAUUGAGUCUAUAGGAAAAGCCAAUACUAUCAAGGAGGGAUGAGGUGUUGCUUAAUGAGCCUCUUGCUUCAUGUGCUUUGUGAUAUGCUCCAAAACCCUCAACUACUUUCCCACAUCCACAAAUGACCUAAACCCAAAGCCAAAAUCGGUCACACCAAAUCUUCCUAUCCGGCGCCACCGAUUCCAAAAGUCAUAGCCACUGCCACAAAACCCUAAGCAAAUCGGUCUUACCGAUAGGGAUCUCGAUCUCACCGAGAUGGGGUUGUAAUCUCUCUGUUUCCCUUCGUAACGUUUCGGUCUAACCGAAGUGAGCGAUCGGUCCCACCAAGAUUGCAAUGUAAACUCUCUGUUUCCUUUUUGUAACAUUUCGGUCUUACCGAAAAGAGCAAGUCGGUCCCACCGAGUUUACCUGACCAACUCUCUGGAAAGCUUAUUACCAAAUCGGUCUCACCGAGUUUGUGUAAUCGGUCUUACCGAGAUUACGUUAUGCCCUAACCCUAACCAAAUCGGUCUCACCGAGAUGCAUGUCAGUCCCACCGAAAAUCACUAACGGUCACUAGGUUUACUGAAUCGGUCUGACCGAGUUUAACGAUUCGGUCCCACCGAGUUUGGUAAAUUGUGUGUAACGGUUAGAUUUUGUGUGGAGGCUAUAUAUACCCCUCCACCUCCUCUUCAUUCGUGGAGAGAGCCAUCAGAACGAACCUACACUUCCAACUUACCAUUUCUGAGAGAGAACCACCUACUCAUGUGUUGAGGCCAAGAUAUUCCAUUCCUACCAUAUGAAUCUUGAUCUCUAGCCUUCCCCAAGUUGCUUUCCACUCAAAUCUUCUUUCCACCAGAUCCAAAACCUAUGAGAGAGAGUUGAGUGUUGGGGAGACUAUCAUUUGAAGCACAAGAGCAAGGAGUUCAUCAUCAAUGCACCAUUUGUUACUUCUUGGAGAGUGGUGUCUCCUAGAUUGGCUAGGUGUCACUUGGGAGCCUCCGACAAGAUUGUGGAGUUUAACCAAGGAGUUUGUAAGGGCAAGGAGAUCGCCUACUUCGUGAAGAUCUACCGCUAGUGAGGCAAGUCCUUCGUGGGCGACGGCCAUGGUGGGAUAGACAAGGUUGCUUCUUCGUGGACCCUUCGUGGGUGGAGCCCUCCGUGGACUCACGCAGCCGUUACCCUUCGUGGGUUGAAGUCUCCAUCAACGUGGAUGUACGAUAGCACCACCUAUCGGAACCACGCCAAAAACAUCCGUGUCUCCAAUUGCGUUUGAAUCCUCCAAACCCUUCCCUUUACUUUCUUGCAAGUUGCAUGCUUUAAUUUCCGCUGCCUAUAUACUCUUUGCAUGCUUGCUUGAAUUGUGUGAUGAUUGCUUGACUUGUCCUAAAGUAGCUAAAAUCUACCAAACUCUAAAAUUGGGAAAAGGUUAAGUUUUUAUUGGUCAAGUAGUCUAAUCACCCCCUCUAGACAUACUUCAAGGUCCUACAGUUGGCACAUGGUUUCUUGACUCCCCGGUAGAAACUUUGGGGCACUCUUUGAAGUACUUUGUGUUGGUUGAAUGAAUCUGAGAUUGUGUGAUGCAUAUCGUAUAAUCAUGCCCACAGAUACUUGAGGUAACGAUGGAGUAUCUAGGUGACAUUAGGGUUUUGGUUGAAUUGUGUCUUAAGGUGUUAUUCUAGUACAAACUCUUUAAUAGAUCGAUCCGAAAGAAUAACUUUGAGGUGGUUUCAUACCCUACCAUAAUCUCUAUGUUUGUUCUCCGCUAUUAAUGGCUUUGGUGUGACUCUUUGUUGCAUGUUGAGGGAUUGUUAUAUGAUCUAUCUAUGUUAUUAUUGUUGAGAGAAAUUGCACUAGUGAAAGUAUGAACCCUAUGCCUUGUUUCCUAUCAUUGCAAUACCAUUUACACUGACUUUUAUCAUUAGUUACCUUGCUGUUUUUAUAUUUGCAGAUUACAAAUACCUUUAUCUACCGUCCAUAUUGCACUUGUAUCACCAUCUCUUCGCCGAACUAGUGCACCUAUACAAUUUGCCAUUGUAUUGGGUGUGUUGGGGACACAAGAGACUCUUUGUUAUUUGGUUGCAGGGUUGUUUGAGAGAUACCAUCUUCAUCCUACGCCUCCCACGGAUUGAUAAACCUUAGGUCAUCCACUUGAGGGAAAUUUGCUACUGUCCUACAAACUUGUGCACUUGCAGGCCCAACAACGUCUACAAGAAGAAGGUUGUGUAGUAGACAUCAAGCUCUUUUCUGGCGCCGUUGCCGGGGAGGUGAGUGCUUGAAGGUAUAUCUUUAGAUCUUGCAAUUGAAUCUUUUUGUUUGUUGUUUUAUCACUAGUUUAGUUUAUAAAAGAAAACUACAAAAAAAUGGAGUUGAGUUUGUCUCAUACGCUUUGUCUUCUUAAUAUCUUUCGUGAGAAUGAUGGAAAGGAAAAUUGUGCUCAAGUGCUAGAAGAAGAAUGCAUUAAAAUAUUUGGUACUAGAUCUUUGUGUGAUGAGCAUGAUAUCAAUGUUGCUAGUAUGAAUUCCUUGAAUAUCCAUGAUGCUAAUGAUAUGCAAAGCCACAAGCUUGGGGAUGCUAUGUUUGAUGAAGAUGAUAUUUUUUGUCCCCCAAGUUUCGAUGAGAAUAUUUAUUAUGAUGAAAGCAUGCCUCCUAUUUAUGAUGAUUAUAUUAAUGAAAGUGGGUUUGGAAGAGUGUCAACUUUAGGAAGUAGUGAUCCCACUAUUUUGGAGGAUGUCGAAUAUUAUUGUGAUGAACAUUAAAGUGGAUUUGGAAGAGUGUCAACUUUAUUUAGUGAUGAUUCCACUAUUUCGGAAGAGGUUCCAAUUGAUUAUGAGAACAAAGUUGCUAUCUAUGAUGAUUAUUGUGAUGACUUGUAUGCUAUUAGGAAUAAUGAUAACCAUGAAAUUUUUCAUCAUGAUUUUAGUUUUCAAUUGGAUUAUGCCUCACAUGAUAAUUAUUUUGUUGAGUUUUCUCCCGCUACUAUUCAUGAGAAGAAAUUUGCUUGUGUGAGAGUAGUAAAUUUUCUAUGCAAGUAGAUCAUGAAAAGAAUGCUUUAUGUGCUGGUUAUAUUGUUGAAUUCAUUCAUGAUGCUACUGAAAAUUAUUAUGAGGGAGGAACAUAUGCUUGUAGGAAUUGCAAUAAUAUCAAGUUUCCUCUAUAUGUGCUUAAAAUCUUGAAGCUAUACUUGUGUUACCUUCCUAUGCUUGUUGAUUAUUGUUCCCUUAAGUUGUUUGCUCACAAAAUCCCUAUGCAUAGGAAGUGGGUUAGGCUUAAAUGUGUUAGUCAUAUGCUUCAUGAUGCUCCCGUUAUAUUUCAAUUUUUAUCUUUUAUGUGAGCAUCAUUGUCAUCAUCAUGCCUAGCUAGAAAGGCAUUAAAGAAAAACACUUGUUGGGAGACAACCCAAUACUUAUCCUUACUGUUUUUGUGUGUCCACAUGAUUAUGCUACUGUAGUAAUCAUGUUUUAUAGCUUUUGUUUCAAUAAAGUUCCAAGUAAGACCUUUAGGAUAGCUUACGGUGAUAGUUGUGUUGAUCCUGCUGAGAAUCAGAAACUUUUGCGUCCAGUAAAUUAGCUUUGUUAAUUCACAGAAAUGUGCUUCUGAUCUGAUUAUUUUUCUCUGGAUUGUUACACGAAUUGUUUAGGACUUCCUAAUUUGGUAGGAGUUUUGGUGUUUCAGAAGUAUAUGUUUGAUACAGAUUACUACAGACUGUUCUGUUUUUGACAGAUUCUGUUUUCAUUGUGUUGUUUGCUUUUUUUGAUGAAUCUAUGAGUAGUAUUGGAGGGUAUGAACCACAGAUAAGUUAGAAUACAGUAGAUAUUACACCAAUAUGAAUUUAGAAUGAGUUUAUUACAGUACCUAAGUGGUGGUUUUAUUCUCUUAUACUAACGGAGCUUACGAGUUUUCUGUUGAGUUUUGUGUUGUGAAGUUUUCAAGUUUUGGGUAAAGAUACGAUGGACUAUGGAAUAAGGAGUGGCAAGAGACUAAGCUUGGGGAUUCCCAAGGCACCCCAAGGUAAUAUUCAAGGACAACCAAGAGCCUAAGCUUGGGGAUGCCCCGGAAGGCAUCCCCUCUUUCGUCUUCGUCCAUCGGUAACCUUACCUGGAGCUAUAUUUUUAUUCACCACAUGAUAUGUGUUUUGCUUGGAGCGUCAGUUUCUUUUGUUAGAAUUUGCUUGAUGUUGUUUAGAAUAAUGUUUUUCAUAUUUAUUUUCAAUAAAAAUGUCAAGGAUAGCCUUUGCCAUGCUUAUUUUGCUAGUAUACAUGUUGCUGUUUGAAAACAGAAAGUUUACCGCUGUUGCAAAAAUUACCUAGAAAAUUCAGAGAAUGAUAUAAUGUUGAAACCUUUUGCAUAAUAAGCUCUGAUAAAUUUACUACAGUGAGAAUUUUAUUUAAUAAUUUUUGGAGUUAGGGAAGUAUUGAUACUCUUGCAUUCUUUACAGACUAUACUGUUUUGGCAGAUUGCUGUUAUGUUUGCGUUGUUUGCAUAUGUUUGCUUGUUUAAUGAUUCUAUUUUAGGAUAGGAGUAUUAAAUAUGCAGAGGCAUUUAGUAUGCAAUGUUGGAUAAUAAUGUUAGUGAUUUGUUACAGUAUAAAAUGAUAAGGUUUUGCAUUGGUUUAUACUAACCUAUCUCACGAGUUCUUGUUGAGUUUGGUGUGGAUGAAGCUUUUGAUAAAAAGAUAAACCAUGAUAUGAGAGGAAUUAAGGAGACACAAAAGUUCAAGCUUGGGGAUGGACAAGGCACCCCAAGAUAAUAUUUCAAGAAGUCUCAAGCAUCUAAGCUUGGGUAUGCCCCGUGAGGCAUCCCACCUUUCUUCUUCAAUCACUAUCGGUUAGUAUCGGUUGAGCCUAAGUUUUUGCUUCUUCACAUGAGUUGUGCUAUCCUUGCAAUGUCAUUUUAUUUUGUUUUGCUUGCUGUUUGAGUACAAUACCAAGAUCUGAAAUUCCUUAAUGUUAGAGAGUCUUCACAUAGUUGCACAAUUAUUCGACUACUCAUUGAUCUUCACUUAUAUCUUUUGGAGUAGUUUGUCAUUUGCUCUAGUGCAUCACUUAUAUCUUUUAGAGCACGACGGUGGUUAUAUUUUGUAGAAAUUGCUAGUCUCUCAUGCUUCACUUAUAUUAUUUUGAGAGUCUUUUAGAACAGCAUGGUAUUUUCUAUGGUUAUAAAGUUGGUCCUAGAAUGAUGAGCAUCCAAGUUGGGUAUAAUAAAAACUAUCAUAGAAAAGAAUUGGAUGCUAUGAUCAAUUUGAUGCGUGAUAAUUGUUUUGAGAUAUGGAGGUAGUGAUAUUAGAGUCAUGCUAGUUGAGGUGAUUAUGAAAAAUACUUGUGUUAAGGGUUGUGAUUCCCGUAGCAUGCACGUAUGGUGAACCGCUUUGUGAUGAAGUUGGAGCACAAUUUUAUUUAUUGAUUGUCUUCCUUAUGAGUGGCGGUCGGGGACGAGCGAUGGUCUUUUCCUACCAAUCUAUCCCCCUAGGAGCAUGCGCGUAGUGCUCUGGUUUUUGAUGACUUUUAGAUUUUUGCAAUAAGUACAUGAGUUCUUUUGACUAAUGUUGAGUCCAUGGAUUAUACGCACCUCACCCUUCCACCAUUGCUAGCAUCUCUUGUGCCGUGCAACUUUCGCCGGUACCAUACACCCACCAUAUACCUUCCUCAAAACCGCCACCAUACCUACCUAUUAUGGCAUUUCCAUAGCCAUUCCGAGAUAUAUUGCCAUGCAACUUUCCACCGUUCCAUUCAUAUGACACGCAUUACUUUUGUCAUAUUGCUUUUUGCAUGAUCAUGUAGUUGACAUUGUAUAUGUGGCAAGGCCACCUUCAUAAUUUUCAUACAUGCCGCUCUUGAUUCAUUGCAUACCCCGGUACACCACCGGAGGCAUUCAUAUAGAGUCAUAUCUUGUUCUAGCUUUGAGUUGUAAUUCUUGAGUUGUAAAUCCAUAAAAGUGUGAUGAUUUUCAUUAUUAGAGCAUUGUCCUAGUGAGGAAAGGAUGAUGAAGACUAUGAUUCCCCACAAGUCGGGAUGAGACUUCAGACUUUACAAAAAGAAAAAAAAAGAGAAAGGCCAAAAAGAAAAAAAGAAAGGCCAAAGAAAAAAAAAGAGAAAAAAAGGAAAAAAAAGAAAAGGAAUAAAAUAAAAUGAGAGAAAAAGAGAGAAGGGACAAUGCUACUAUCUCUUUUUCCACACUUGUGCUUCAAAGUAGCACCAUGAUCUUCAUGAUAGAGAGUCUCAUAUGUUGUCACUUUCAUAUACUAGUGGGAAUUUUUCAUUAUAGAACUUGGCUUGUAUAUUCCAAUGAUGGGCUUCCUCAAAAUGCCCUAGGUCUUCGUGAGCAAGUGAGUUGGAUGCACACCCACUUAGUUUUGUUUGUUGAGCUUUCAUAUAUUUAUAGCUCUAGUGCAUCCGUUGCAUGGCAAUCCCUACUCACUCACAUUGAUAUCUAUUAAUGGGCAUCUCCAUGGCCCGUUGAUACACCUUGUUGAUGUGAGACUAUCUUCUCCUUUUUGUCUUCUCCACAACCACCAUUCUUUUUAUUCCACAUAUAGUGCUAUGUCCAUGUCUCACGGUCAUGUAUUGCGUGAAAGUUGGAAAAGUUUGAGAUUAUUAAAGUAUGAAACAAUUGCUUGGCUUGUCAUCGGGGUUGUGCAUGAUUAAAUACUUUGUGUGAUGAAGAUAGAGCAACAACCAGACUAUAUGAUUUUGUAGGGAUAACUUUCUUUGGCCAUGUUAUUUUGAGAAGACAUGAUUACUUUGAUUAGUAUGCUUGAAGUAUCACCAUUUUCAUGUUAAUAUGAACUUUUAUUUUGUAUCAUUUGGAUCUGAACAUUCAUGCCCCAAUAAAGAAAAUUACAUUGAGAAUUAUGCUAGGUAGGAUUCCACAUCAAAAAUUCUGUUUUUAUCAUUUACCUACUCGAGGACGAGCAGGAAUUAAGCUUGGGGAUGUUUGAUACGUCUCCAACGUAUCUAUAAUUUUUUAUUGUUCCAUGCUAUUAUAUUACCCCUUUCGGAUGAUUACGGGCUUUAUUAUACACUUUUAUAUUACUUUUGGGACUAACCUAUUAACCGGAGGCCCAGCCCAUAUUGCUGUUUUAUUGUCUGUUUCAGUAUUUCGAAGAAAAGGAAUAUCAAACGGAGUCCAAACGGAAUGAAACCUUCGGCAGCGUGAUUUUUUGGAAGAAUAUGAUCCUGGAGACUUGGAGUUCACGUCAGAAGAUCCUCGAGGAGGCCAGGAGAUAGGCCCCCCUACUGAGCGCGCCCCCUAUCUCGUGGGCCCCUUGAGCACCCCCCGACCGACUUCUUUCGCCUAUAUAGUCCCACGUACCCUAAAAACAUCCACGAAGAAGAUAGAUCGGGAGUUCCGCCGCCACAAGCCUCUGUAGCCACCAAAAACCUCUCGGGAGCCCGUUCCGGCACCCUGCCGGAGGGGGAACCCAUCACCGGUGGCCAUCUUCAUCAUCCCGGCGCUAUCCAUGACAAGGAAGGAGUAGUUCACCCUCGGGGCUGAAGGUAUGUACCAGUAGCUAUGUGUUUGAUCUCUCUCUCUCUCUCUCGUGUUCUCUCUAUGGCACGAUCUUGAUGUAUAGCGAGCUUUGUUAUUAUAGUUGGAUCUUAUGAUGUUUCUCCCCCUCUACUCUCUUGUGAUGAAUUGAGUUUCCCUCUUGAAGUUAUCUUAUCGGAUUGAGUCUUUGAUUUGAGAACACUUGAUGUAUGUCUUGCCGUGUUUAUCUGUGGUGACAAUGGGAUAUCACGUGCCACUUGAUGUAUGUUUUGGUGACCAACUUGCGGGUUCCGCCCAUGAACCUAUGCAUAGGGGUUGGCACACGUUUUCUUGACUCUCCGGUAGAAACUUUGGGGCACUCUUUGAAGUACUUUGUGUUGGUUGGAUGAAUCUGAGAUUGUGUGAUGCAUAUCGUAUAAUCAUGCCCACGGAUACUUGAGGUGAUAAUGGAGUAUCUAGGUGACUGAUAACCCACAAGUGUAGGGGAUCGCAACAGCUUUCGAGGGUAAAGUAUUCAACCCAAAUUUAUUGAUUCGACACAAGGGGAGCCAAAGAAUAUUCUUGAGUAUUAGCAGUUGAGUUGUCAAUUCAACCACACCUGGAUAACUUAGUAUCUGCAGCAAAGUGUUUAGUAGCAAAGUGGUAUGAUAAUAAAGAUAAUGGUGGCAAAAGUAAAGAUAAUAGUUUUUGGGUUUUUGUAGUAGUUGUAACAGUAGCAACGGAAAAGUAAAUAAGCGAAGAACAAUAUGUGAAAAGCUCGUAGGCAAUGGAUCAAUGAUGGAUAAUUAUGCCGGAUGCGAUUCCUCAUGUAAUAGCUAUAACAUAGGGUGACAUAGAACUAGCUCCAGUUCAUCAAUGCAAUGUAGGCAUGUAUUCCGUAAAUAGUCAUACGUGCUUAUGGAAAAGAACUUGCAUGACAUCUUUUGUCCUACCCUCCCAUGGCAGCGGGGUCCUAGCGGAAACUAAGGGAUAUUAAGGCCUCCUUUUAAUAGAGAACCGGAACAAAGCAUUAGCACAUAGUGAAUACAUGAACUCCUCAAACUAUGGUUAUCACCGAGAAGUAUCCCGAUUAUUGUCACUUCGGGGUUGUCGGAUCAUAACAUAUAAUAGGUGACAAUAGACUUGCAAGAUAGGAUCAAGAACACACAUAUAUUCAUGAAAACAUAAUAGGUUCAGAUCUAAAAUCAUGGCACUCGGGCCCUAGUGACAAGCAUUAAGCAUAGCAAAGUCAUAGCAACAUCAAUCUCAGAACAUAGUGGAUACUAGGGAUCAAACCCUAACAAAACUAACUUGAUUACAUGGUAAAUCUCAUCCAACCCAUCACCGUCCAGCAAGCCUAUGAUGGAAUUACUCACGCACGGCGGUGAGCAUCAUGAAAUUGGUGAUGGAGGAUGGUUGAUGAUGACGACAGCGAUGAAUCCCCCUCUCCGGAGCCCUGAACGGACUCCAAAUCAGCCCUCCCGAGAGAGAUUAGGGCUUGGCGGCGGCUCCAUGUCGUAAAACGCGAUGAAACUUUCUCUCUGAUUUUUUUCUCCCUGAACGUGAAUAUAUGGAGUUGGAGUUGAGGUCGGUGGAGGUAUAGGGGGCCCACGAGAUAGGGGGGGCGCGCCCAGGAGGAGGGGGCGCGCCCCCUGUCUCGUGGACAGGGUGUGGCCCCCCUGGUGUAUUUCUUUCGCCCAAUAAUUCUUAUUAAUUCCAAAAGGUGCCUCCGUGGAUUUUCAGGACAUUCCGAGAACUUUUCUUUUCUACACAUAAAACAACAUCAUGGCAGUUCUGCUGAAAACAGCGUCGGUCCGGGUUAGUUUCAUUCAAAUCAUGCAAGUUAGAGUCCAAAACAAGGGCAAAAGUGUUUGGAAAAGUAGAUACGUUGGAGACGUAUCAACUCCCCCAAGCUUAAACCUUUGCUUGUCCUCAAGCAAUUCAGUUGAUAAACUGAAAGUGAUAAAGAAAAACUUUUACAAACUCUAUUUGCUCUUGUUGUAAACAUGAAAAGCCAGCAUUCAAGUUUUAGCAAAUAUUAUGAACUAACCAUACUCACAAAAACACUUGGGUCUCACAAUUACUCAUAUCAAUAGCAUAAUCAGCUAGCUAGCCAUAAUAAUAAAACUUGGAUGACAACACUUUCUCAAAACAAUCAUAACAUGAUAUAACAAAAUGGUAUCUCGCUAGCCCUUUUUGAGACCGCAAAACAUAAAUGCAGAGCACCUUUAAAGAUCAAGGACUGACUAAACAUUGUAAUUCAUGGUAAAAGAGAUCCAGUCAAGUCAUACCCAAUAUAAACCAACAAUAAUGGAUGCAAAUGACAGUGUGCUCUCCAGUGGGUGCUUUUUAAUAAGAAGGGUGAUGACUCAACAUAAAAGUAAAUAUAUAGGCCCUUCGCAGAGGGAAGCAGGGAUUUGUAGAGGUGCCAGAGCUCGAUUUUAAAAUAGAGAUUGAAUAACAUUUUGAGCGGAAUACUUUUGCUAUCAACGCAAAAACUAUGAGAUGGCUGUAUCUUCCAUAGUACAUGCAUUAUAGGCAGUUCCCAAACAGAAUGGUAAAGGUUUAUACUCCCCCAACCACCAACAAGCAUCAAUCCAUGGCUUGCUCGAAACAACGAGUGCUUCCAACUAACAACAUCCCUGGGGGAGUUUUGUUUAAUUAUUUUGAUUUGCUUUGAUCGUUUUGGAUCAUGGGACUGUGGCAUCCCGUUUACCGGCCCUUUCUCGUGAGUGAGGAGCGGAGUCCACUCCUCUUGAGAAUAACCCACCUAGCAUGGAAGAUAUAGGCAGCCCUAGUUGAAACAUGAGCUGCUCGAGCAUACAAAACAGAAUUUCAUUUGAAGGUUUGGAGUUUGGCACAUACAAAUUUACUUGGAAGGGCAGGUAAAUACCACAUAUAGGAAAGUAUAGUGGAAUCAUAUGGAACAACUUUGGGGUUUAAGGAGUGUGGAUGCACAAGCAGUAUUCCCGCUUAGUACAGGUGAAGGCUAGCAAAAGACUGGGAAGCGACCAACUGAGAGAGCGACAACAGUCAUGAACAUGCAUUAAAAUUAAUUCACACCGAAUACAAGCAUGAGUAGGAUAUAAUCCACCAUGAACAUAAAUAUCAUGAAGGCUGUGUUGGUUUGAUUCAACUACAUGCGUGAACAUGUGCCAAGUCGAGUCACUCAAUUCAUUCAAAGGAUGAUACCAUCCCAUCAUACCACAUCAUAAUCAUUCUAAUAGCAUGUUGGCACGCAAGGUAAACCAUUAUAACUCAUAGCUAAUCAAGCAUGGCACAAGCAACUAUAAUCUCUAAAUGUCAUUGCAAAUAUGUUUACCUCAUAAUAGCUGACUCAGAAACUAUGAACUCAUCAUAUUUACAAAAACAAGAGAGGUCGAGUUCAUACCAGCUUUUCUCAUCCCAAUAAGUCCAUCAUAUAUCGUCAUUAUUGCCUUUCACUUGCACGACCGAACGAUGUGUAUAAUAAUAAUAGUGCUCGUGCAUUGGACUAAGCUGGUAUCUGCAAGCAUUCAACUCAAGAGAGAAGACAAGUAAUAUGGGCUCUAAGUUAAAUAAUCAAUCAUGCAAAUGAGAGCCACUAAACAUUUUCAAUAUGGUCUUCUUGACCCCCAAAGGAAAGAAAAGAAAAUAAAACCAUUUACACGGGAAAGCUCCCAACAAGUAAAAAGAAGAACUAGAAAUAUUUUUGGGUUUUCAUUUUAAUUUCUACUACAAGCAUGGAAAUUAAACUAACUAAUUUUUUUGGUUUUUCUUAAGGUUUAUCAAACACACAAUAAGAAAACUAGAAAAAUAAAUUUAAACUAGCAUGGAUAAUACAAUGAAAGAGUAUGAGCACUGACAACUAGUGCGUGAACAUGAAUGUAAAGUCGGUGAGAAAUACGUACUCCCCCAAGCUUAGGCUUUUGGCCUAAGUUGGUCUAGUACCAAGGACCGCUGCUACUCUCCCCGGUGUACUGGGAAGUGUAAUCAGGAUACCACUGGCUGGUCAUCUCCGGAUCCCACUGGACAGAUGAUGCACGAUAAGGGUCCAGUUCAGGUUCCAGCUCAGGUUCAGGUUCUGGUGUGAAAGCUUGGGCUCGAUGGUUGUACACCGCUUCCGGCAUGACAAGAAAAUUUUCUACAAGCAAAUCAAACAAGAGAGGCGCAGGCAAAAUAAUAAUCUCAAAGUGUUUCUUAUUAAAUCUAAGUUUAUACAAGAGCAUCUUCUCUUUGUUGUCAACAAUAAAUUUGUGUGCUACCAUGCUCUUGUAAUCUAAAAUGUGAGGAGGCAAUUUUGUCUCCUCUUUCUCAUGGUGCCUAAUGGGUAUCUGAAAAUGUCUAGCAAGACGUGCAACAUAGAUACCCAAAAUAUGUGGCCUUUUGUACGAUUCAGGGCUAUCCGUUUAGCAACAACGACACCCAUACUAAAAGUAUUGUCUCCAAGCAAGGCAUGUUGAAGAAUGAUAAUAUCAGGAACAGUAAAGCUUCCACUAUUUCCACGACCAAUCAAGCAUCUACUAGCAAAUAUGGAAAAGUAGCGUAAAACAGGAAAGUGUAAGCUAGAGAUUUUUGCCUCGGAACCAUUCUUUGGCUCCUCUACAUCGAUAGUAUUAACAAAGCCAUCCACAUCUUUACGAUGGGGUUCCUCUAAUUCUCCCUCAUAAGGUAUCCUACACACCGCGCAAAAAUUACGUAAAGACAUUUCUCUGAAUUCAUCAUAUAAAUGAAAUGAUACUGCACGCGGUGACUUCUUAGGUUAAUAAUAAAAGUUUUGCACGAAAGUAUUAGUGAGUAAGAGAUACUGAUCGAUCCGGUCGUUGAUGAAACCGGUGAGGCCUGCAGUCUCGAUCAAAGAAUAAAAAUCUUCAUGAAUUCCAGCUUCUUUCAAGAAAUCAUUGCAUGGCCAUUCACACGACCGCACUUCCGCUAAGCGAGGAAGAUUAUACUUGGCUUUUUUCCUUCUCUUUAGCUUGUUUUUCCUGAGAGCUUUGGCUAGAAGAGCCCCUCAAAAGUUUCCUCAACAUUUUCUGAAAAUUUCUGAAAUUUUAGUAACUUCAAAAUAAAAGUGCAUAAAACUAAACAAGAUUGGCAGCAACUACUCCUACAAGUGCCUAGAGCCUAUAUCAUGCAUUAGAAUUGCUUGGGACCUCAUAAAUUUAACAUGCAAGCCCAAGAACAUGGUCACCAAUGCGGCAAAAAUUUGCAAUAAAUAAAGCACUAGAACAAAAACUAAUUGGACCAAUGGAGGAGGCACAUACCAAGCAACAAUCUCCCAAAGCAGUUUUGUGAAUGGAGCUUUGAGCAAGAAGAUCGAAAAUCGCAGCAAAAUGAGCUAGAACUCGUGCUUGAGCUGGAUGGGGAUUUUUUUGGGUAGAAGAUGAAGUGUGUGGGUGCUGGCAUAAGUGGAGGGGGGCACCAGGGGACCACGAGACAGGGGGGCGCACCCAGGGGGAGGGGGCGCGACCUCCACUCUCGUGGCCUGGUGCUUGCCCCUCCUGCAGUGUUUUCAGUGCCUAAAAUCCUCAAAUAUUCCAUAAAAAAUCAUACUAAAUUUGCAGGGCAUUUGGAGAACUUUUAUUUUCGGGAUAUUUUUUAAUGCACGGAUAAUUCAGAAAACAGACAGAUAAUACUAUUUUUUGCUUUAUUUAUUCCAAAUAACAGAAAGUAAACAGAGGGUACACAAGGUUGUGCCUUCUAAUUUCAUCCAUCUCAUGAUCAUCAAAAUGAAUCCACUAACAAGGUUGAUCAAGUCUUGUUAACAAACUCAUUUCGAAUAACACGGAACCGAAGAAAUUUCGAAUAACACUAAGUUACCUCAACGGGGAUAUGGAAAUCCCCAACAAUAAGAAUAUCAUACUUUUUCUUGACAGUAGGGAGAGGAAAUUCAAAACCUCCAAUAAUAAUAGUUGGAACUUUUCCAAUAGAAUUGAUGCUAUGAACUUGAGAUUGUUUCCUCGAAAAGUGUACCAUAUGCUCAUUACCAUUAACAUGGAAAGUGACAUUGCAUUUGUUGCAAUCAAUAACAGCCCCUGCAGUAUUAAGAAAAGGUCUACCAAGGAUAAUAGACAUACUAUCGUCCUCGGGAAUAUCAAGAAUAACAAAGUCCGUUAAAAUAGUGACAUUUGCAGCCACAACAGGCACAUCCUCACAAAUACCGACAGGUAUAGCAGUUGAUUUAUCAACCAUUUGCAAAGAUAUUUCAGUAGGUGUCAACUUAUUCAAUUCAAGUCUACGAUAUAAAGAGAGAGGCAUAACACUAACACCGGCUCCAAGAUCACAUAAAGCAGUUCUAACAUAAUUUCUUUUAAAGGAGCAUGGAAUAGUUAGCACACCCGGAUCUCCAAGUUUCUUUGGUAUUCCACCCUUAAAAGUGUAAUUAGCAAGCAUGGUGGAAAUCUCAGCUUCCGGUAUCUUUCUUUUAUUUGUAAUGAUAUCCUUUGUAUAGUUAGCAUAAGGAUUUACUUUCAGCAUAUCAGCUAAGCGCAUACGUAAGAAGAUAGGUCUAAUCAUUUCAGCAAAGCGCUCAAAAUCCUCAUCAUCCUUUGUCUUGGAUGGUUUAGGUGGAAAGGGCAUGGGUUUCUGAACCCAUGGUUCUCUUUCUCUAUCGUGCUUCCUAGCAACAAAAUCUCUCUUGUCAUAACGUUGAUUCUUUGAUUGUGGGUUAUCAAGAUCAACAGCAGGUUCAAUCUCUACUUCAUUGUUUUUGCUAGGUUGAGCAUCAACAUGAACAUUAUCAUUAACAUUAUCACUAGGUUCAUGUUCAUCACCUGAUUGUGUUUCAGCAUCAGAAAUAGAAAUAUUAUUGGGAUUCUCAAGUGUGUCUACAGUAGGUUCACUAGAAGCAUGCAAAGCUCUAUCAUUUUUCUUUUUCUUCUUUUUAGAAGAAAUAGGUGCUUCUAAAUUAUUUCUAUGAGAAUCUUGCUCGAUUCUCUUAGGGUGGCCUUCAGGAUACAAAGGUUCCCGAGUCAUUCUACCAGUUCUAGUAGCCACUCUAACAGCAAAGUCAUUCUUAUUAUUUAAUUCAUCAAGCAAAUCAUUUUGAGCUUUAAGUACUUGCUCAGCUUGAGUAGCAACCAUAGAGGUAUAUUUGCUAAUGAGUUUAAGUUCACCUUUAACUCUAGCCAUAUUAUUGCUCACGCGUCCCAUCUCGAAAGCAUUAUUCUUUAACUCUCUACCAACAUAAGCAAUAAACCUUUCUUGUCUAGCCAUAAAGUUGUGAAAUUCAUCUAAGCAAGGGCUAUGAAAUUUAGUAGAGGGUACUUCAACUUUAUCGUAUCUAUAGAGAGAAUUUACCUUUACUACCUGUGUCGGGUUAUCAAGACAAUGUGGUUCUUCAGGCGGUAAAUUAAGACCAUGUAUUUCUUCAAUAGGAGGUAAAUUCUUAACAUAUUCAACUUUAAUACCUUUUUCUUUCAUUGAUUUCUUUGCCCCUUGCAUAUCUUCAGGAUUGAGAAAUAAAACACCUCUCUUCUUCGGAGUUGGUUUAGGAAUAGGCUCAGGAGUUGGCUGAAUUGGUUCAGGAAUAUCUUCAGUAAUUGGCUCAGGAAGAGUCCAAUUAUUUUCAUUAGUCAACAUAUUAUUCAAUAAUAUUUCAGCUUCGUCGACUGUUCUUUCCCUGAAAACACAACCAGCACAACUAUCCAAGUGUUCCUUGGAAGCAUCGGUUAGUCCAUUAUAAAAGAUAUCAAGUAUUUCAUUUUUCUUAAGAGGAUGAUCAGGCAAAGCAUUAAGUAACCGGAGAAGCCUCCCCCAAGCUUGUGGGAGACUCUCUUCUUUGAUUUGCACAAAAUUAUAUAUUUCCCGCAAGGCAGCUUGUUUCUUAUGAGCAGGGAAAUAUUUAGCAGAGAAGUAAUAAAUCAUAUCCUGGGGAUUACGCACACAACCAGGAGCAAGAGAAUUAUACCAAGUCUUAGCAUCACCCUUUAAUGAGAACGGAAAUAUCUUAAGGAUAUAAUAAUAGCGAGACUUCUCAUCAUUAGUAAACAGGGUAGCUAUAUCAUUCAACUUGGUAAGAUGUGCCACAACAGUUUUAGAUUCAAGGCCAUAAAAAGGAUUAGAUUCAACUAAAGUAAUAAUCUCGGGAUCAACAGAGAAUUCAUAAUCCUUAUCAGUAACACAGAUAGGUGAAGUAGCAAAAGCAGGGUCAGGUUUCAUUCUAGCAUUAAGAGACUGCUGCUUCCAUUUAGCUAAUAAUUUCUUAAGAUCAUAUCUAUCAUUGCAAGCAAAGAUAGCUCUAGCUGCUUCUUCAUUCAUAACAUAACCCUCACGAACAACAGGCAAUUCAUAAUCAUUGGGAGAAUUUUCAUCAUCACUAUCAUCAAUAAUAGCAUCUUCAAUAAUUUCGUUUCCCCCAACUCUAGCAAGUUGUUCAUCAAGAAAUUCACCUAAUGGCAAAGUAGUAUCAUGCACAGAAGUAGUUUUAUCGUGCAUAGCAGAAGUGGCAUCAUCAAUAAAAUGCGACACACCAGAAUUCAUAGCAGUAGCAGGUUUAGGUGUCGCAAGCUUACUAAUAACGGAAGGAGAAUCUAGUGCAGAGCUAGAUGGCAGUUCCUUACCUCCCCUCGUAGUUGAGGGCAAAAUCGUAGUUCUGUCGUCUUUCAAGUUCUUCACAGUGAUCAACAGAUAUAAAUCCCAAGUGACUCAUAGAAUAGAGCUAUGCUCCCCGGCAACAGCGCCAGAAAUUAGUCUUGAUAACCCACAAGUGUAGGGGAUCGCAACAACUUUCGAGGGUAAAGUAUUCAACCCAAAUUUAUUGAUUCGACACAAGGGGAGCCAAAGAAUAUUCUUGAGUAUUAGCAGUUGAGUUGUAAAUUCAACCACACCUGGAUAACUUAGUAUCUGCAGCAAAGUGUUUAGUAGAAAAGUGGUAUGAUAAUAAAGGUAACGAUGGCAAAAGUAAAGAUAAUAGUUUUGUGGUUUUUGUAGUAGUUGUAACAGUAGUAACAGAAAAGUAAAUAAGCGAAGAACGAUAUGUGAAAAGCUCGUAGGCAAUGGAUCAAUGAUGGAUAAUUAUGCCAGAUGCGAUUCCUCAUGUAAUAGCUAUAACAUAGGGUGACAUAGAACUAGCUCCAGUUCAUCAAUGUAAUGUAGACAUGUAUUUCGUAAAUAGUCAUACGUGCUUAUGGAAAAGAACUUGCAUGACAUCUUUUGUCCUACCCUCCCGUGGCAGCGGGGUCCUAGCGGAAACUAAGGGAUAUUAAGGUCUCCUUUUAAUAGAGAACCGGAACAAAGCAUUAGCACAUAGUGAAUACAUGAACUCCUCAAACUAUGGUCAUCACCGAGAAGUAUCCCGAUUAUUGUCACUUCGGGGUUGUCGGAUCAUAACACAUAAUAGGUGACUAUAGACUUGCAAAAGAGGAUCAAGAACACACAUAUAUUCAUGAAAACAUAAUAGGUUCAGAUCUGAAAUCAUGGCACUCGGGCCCUAGUGACAAGCAUUAAGCAUAGCAAAGUCAUAGCAACAUCAAUCUCAGACCAUAGUGGAUACUAGGGAUCAAACCCUAACAAAACUAACUUGAUUACAUGGUAAAUCUCAUCCAACCCAUCACCGUCCAGCAAGCCUAUGAUGGAAUUACUCACGCACGGUGGUGACCAUCAUGAAAUUGGUGAUGGAGGAUGGUUGAUGAUGACGACGGCGACGAAUCCCCCUCUCCGGAGCCCCGAACGGACUCCAAAUCAACCCUCCCGAGAGAGAUUAGGGCUUGGCAGCGGCUCCGUGUCAUAAAACGCGAUGAAACUUUCUCUCUGAUUUUUUUCUCCCCGAACGUGAAUAUAUGGAGUUGGAGUUGAGGUCAGUGGAGGUCCAGGGGGCCCACGAGAUAGGGGGCGCGCCCAGGAGGGGGGGUGUGCCCCCCUGUCUCGUAGACUGGGUGUGGGCCCCCUGGUGUAUUUCUUUCGCCCAAUAAUUCUUAUUAAUUCCAAAAAGUGCCUCCGUGGAUUUUCAGGACAUUCCGAGAACUUUUCUUUUCUACACAUAAAACAACAUCAUGGCAGUUCUGCUGAAAACAACGUCAGUCCGGGUUAGUUUCAUUCAAAUCAUGCAAGUUAGAGUCCAAAACAAGGGAAAAAGUGUUUGGAAAAGUAGAUACGUUGGAGACGUAUCAGUGACAUUAGGGUUUUGGUUGAUUUGUGUCUUAAGGUGUUAUUCUAGUAUGAACUCUUUAAUAGAUCGAUCCGAAAGAAUAACUUUGAGGUGGUUUCAUACCCUACCAUAAUCUCUAUGUUUGUUCUCCGCUAUUAGUGGCUUUGGAGUGACUCUUUGUUGCAUGUUGAGGGAUUGUUAUAUGAUCUAUCUAUGUUAUUAUUGUUGAGAGAACUUGCACUAGUGAAAGUAUGAACCCUAUGCCUUGUUUCCUAUCAUUGCAAUACCGUUUACACUCACUUUUAUCAUUAGUUACCUUUCUUUUUUUAUAUUUUCAGAUUACAAAUACCUUUAUCUACCGUCCAUAUUGCACUUGUAUCACCAUCUCUUCGCCAAACUAGUGCACCUAUACAAUUUGCCAUUGUAUUGGGUGUGUUGGGGACACAAGAGACGCUUUGUUAUUUGGUUGCAGGGUUGUUUGAGAGAGACCAUCUUCAUCCUACGCCUCCCACGGAUUGAUAAACCUUAGGUCAUCCACUUGAGGGAAAUUUGCUACUGUCCUACAAACCUGUGCACUUGCAGGCCCAACAACGUCUACAAGAAGAAGGUUGUGUAGUAGACAUCAGUCAUCGGUAUGUAACUUGCCCGAGAUUCGAUCGUCGGUAUCUCAAUACCUAGUUCAAUCUCAUUACCGGCAAGUCUCUUUACUCCUUACGUAAUGCAUCAUCCCAUGACUAACUCAUUAGCUACAUUGCUUGCAAGGCUUAUAGUGAUGUGCAUUACCGGGAGGGCCUAGAGAUACCUCUCCGACAAUCGGAGUGACAAAUCCUAAUCUCGAAAUACGUCAACUCAACAAGUACCUUCGGACACACCUGUAGUGCACCUUUAUAAUCACCCAGUUACAUUGUGACGUUUGGUAGCACACAAAGUGUUCCUCCGGUAAACGGGAGUUACAUAAUCUGAUAGUCAUAGGAACAUGUAUAAGUCAUGAAGAAAGCAAUAGCAACAUACUAAAUGAUCAAGUGCUAAGCUAACGAAAUGGGUCAAGUCAAUCACAUCAUUCUCCUAAUGAUGUGAUCCCACUGAUCAAAUGAUAACUCAUAUCUAUGGUUAGGAAACUCAACCAUCUUUGAUCAAUGAGCUAGUCAAGUAGAGGCAUACUAGUGACACUAUGUUUGUCUAUGUAUUCACACAUGUAUUAUGUUUCCGGUUAAUACAAUUCUAGCAUGAAUAAUAAACAUUUAUCAUGAUAUGAGGAAAAAAAUAAUAACUUUAUUAUUGCCUCUAGGGCAUAUUUCCUUCAGGUGCACCCCUGCUCUCCCUCUCGUCCGUACCCGUCCUCCAGCUCCUCCCCGCUGCCGCCAGCGGGAGCCCCCAGUGCUGGUUCGGGUGGUGUCGGCGGCGGCGGGACCUCCUGUCCCCGCGCGCGCGGCUCCCCUUCCCGGGGCAGGGGACGGCGAUGGUGCUGCUCGGCUAGGCGGCGGCCCGGUGACCCGGCGGCGGGCAAGGUGGUGGUGCUGCCCCUUGGCAGCGGGGCGGCGAGGUGACGUGCGGUGGCCGGCAGCGUGCCGCCGACCCAGAUCUGGCCCCUCCCGGGCCCAUCUGGGUCCUAGCAGGCUGGCCAUUGGCGUGGCUUUGACGUCCUCUAUGUGGCGCGGAGGAGGAUCAACUAGGACUCAUGGUGGUGGCACCGACGGCGUGCCUUCUGCAGCGUGACGGCGAGAGCUUUACGGGAAUUUGUGGACCCGGCCGGGCCUGUGGGCCUACGGGCCUGGUAUGCUCCUGCUGUAGUGUCCGGUCGGUUACUGUCAUUGACGGUGGAGGUUGGGCCCUCCCACGUGCCGACGAUGUUGAUGUCCUGAGUCCCGGCUCCUCCUCUUCGUUGACGGUGGCGUGGUGAGAUGGCGCAGAAGCUUCAAGACCGUUUUGGCGCGGAGUGGUGGUUUGUUUGGUGGCGUGCUCCGGAGCGCCCGAGGUGAAGGUUGGGAUCGGGAGAAAUCCCUGUCGGCCGAGCCGACACCGACGCGGUGGUGCCUGAGGGUGCCGCCGGACCUUCCUGGAGGGUGUCGGGGGUACCCUCCCUCUAUCCUCAUCGCGUAUGGGGGAAAACCCUUGGCAGCAGCGUCGUCAUCGUCGCGUCCCUUCUUGGAGAUGUUGAUUCGUACCGGCGCUUCGGAGUAUAGGAGCCCCGGUGGGCGCGGCGGUCUUGAAGCUUCUUCGUUUUUGUUGAUCCGUCGGUGUCAGCAUUUGUUUCUUUUCUUUUUCUCUUUCAUUUCUUUUGGGCGUGCCUAUGCUGCUUCCGCCCCAGCACCUAUCUGGUUGUAUCGGUGAUGUUUGCUUUGUAAUACAAAGCGGGGGAAAACCCUAUUCCGUCAUCACUGGAAAACAUUGGUCCGUGAGUGAUACACGGAGGCGUAGUCCAUCCAGUUUGAUGUUGUGCUCUUCACAGUAAUUCUGGACCUUUUUUCUCCUGUUGUCCGUGAUAAUGAUAUGGGGCAUGCCGUGCCGAUGAAUCACACCGGAUAUGAAUUUAAUGACCGGCUCCGCAGCUUGGCUAGUGACUGGGUUUCGAUCCACUUGGUGAACUUGUCGACCAUGACAAGGAGGUAUUUAUUAUCACCUUCACCGGUACGAAGAGGCCCGGUCAUGUCCAGCCCCUAGAUUGUGAACGUCCAGGUUAUGGGAAUCGUUUUAAGAGAUAUGGCUAGUAAGUGGCUGGUUUAAGCAAAUAGCUGGCACCCCAUCCCCAAGCAGUUUUGGACAAGGUUCGUGGUGUCUGCUCUUGGCGUAGGCCAAUAGAAGCCAACGCGAUAGGCCUUGCUCACCAGGGUCUGAGGGGCCGUGUGAUGACCGCUAGUGCUGGAGUGAAUCUCGUGAAUGAGUUGUCGGCCCUCUUCUAGAGAAAUACAAUGUUGGAAAACUCCAAUAACGAUGUGCUUAUACAACUCUCCUUCGUGCUUGGCAUAAGCGGUAGCUCAACGAACUAUAUGUCAGACUCGUGUCACGUCCUUGGGUAACUCCUUCCAGAGUAGGUAAGCCAGGAUAGGCUCAUUCCAUGCCGGGAUAACCGCCAUCAUUUCAUGGAUCGAGGAAGUUAGUUCUUUGUCCCAACCCCCGAUCCCAGCGAUGCCGGGAUCUAGGUCCAUGGGCAUCUUGAGGCCGGGGUUGGAGGCCCCCGUCCUCAGAGGCCGGUGUUUGCCCGACCUGCAUCUUGAUGGAGGGCUUGAAGAGCUGCUCGUUGAAUGCAUUUGUGGGCACGCGGUCACAUCGGCCCGCUUGGUUGCUAUCAUGCUGGACGUGGUGAAACUCUAGGCCAUCGGAGCAAGCAGACAUUUUCUUGACCGCAUCCCGGUAUGAUGUUAUCUUUGGGUCCUUGGCGUUGAAACUGCCAUUGAUAUGUGAGAUUGUGAGGUUAGAAAUGUUAAGCUUCAUGCACUAGUCAACGCAACCAAAAGUCGGAAUUGAUGGAAAGAGCUAGGCAAUCCAUAUAUAUACUUCAGCACCGCCUCUUACGUGUGGCGUGGGAAGUCAACAUGUGAAUAGACUUAGAGGUAUGGCUCAAGAGGCCUAUACGUGGACCUAGAGGGGGCAGCAACAAUUUUCAAUAAAUUGCGAAAGUCCGGACUUGAACUCAAGACCUUAGACUCUGAUACCAUGUUAAGCUUCAUGCACUAGCCAACACAACCAAAAUUCCAAACUUUUGGUUGCGUUGGCUAGUACAUGAAGCUUAACAUGGUCUGCGGAGACGCAGGGCGAAACAUUGUUGUCGCAUGCCGUGUUACAGAGGAGAGGCGCAAGGGAAUAGAUCAUACAAUUCACAGCUCCCCAAUCGGACGACCUAGGAGGUGACCGGCCAAAGCUUACGUCGGUCGAGCGACACCUAGCAUCAUCACCCAAAUCAAAAGACAACCAUGAACUAAUGACGACAAAUUUUCUGUUGGGUAAAAUAGCAUGUUAUUAAUAUGGGGUUGAUACAUCUCCAACGUAUCUAUAAUUUUUGAUUGUUCCAUGCUAUUAUAUUACCCCUUUUGGAUGUUUAUGGGCUUUAUUUUACACAUUUAUAUCAUUUUUGGGACUAACCUACUAACCGGAGGCCCAACCCGUAUUGCUGUUUUUUUGCCUAUUUCAGUAUUUCAAAGAAAAGGAAUAUCAAAUGGAGUCCAAACGGAAUGAAACCUUCGGGAGCGUGAGUUUUGGAACGAACGUGCUUCAAAGAGCUUGGAGUGCGAUACGUCUCCAACGUAUCUACUUUUCAAAACACUUUUGCCCUUGUUUUGGACUCUAACUUGCAUGAUUUGAAUGAAACUAACCUGGGCUGACGCUGUUUUCAGCAGAACUGCCAUGAUGUUGUUUUAUGUGUAGAAAAGAAAAGUUCUCGGAAUGUCCUGGAAAUCCAUGGAGGCACUUUUCAGAAUUAAUAAGAAUUUUUGGCGAAAGAAUCAAGGCCAGGGGGGCCACGGCCUGUCCACGAGACAUGGCCCCCCCUAGAGUGCACCCUCCUAUCUCGUGGGCCCCUUGGACACCUCCCGACCUCAACUCAAACUCCAUAUAUACCGUCUCUGGGAGAAAAAAAAUCAAGGAGAAAGUUUCAUCGGGUUUCACGACACGGAGCCGCCGCCAAGCCCUAAUCUCUCUCGGGAGGGCUGAUCUGGAGUCCGUUCGGGGCUCCGGAGAGGGGGAUUCGUCACCGUUGUCAUCAUCAACCAUCCUCCAUCACCAAUUUCAUGAUGCUCACCGCCGUGCGUGAGUAAUUCCAUCGUAGGCUUGCUGGACGGUGAUGGGUUGGAUGAGAUUUACCAUGUAAUCAAGUUAGUUUUGUUAGGGUUUGAUCCCUAGUAUCCACUAUGUUCUGAGAUUGAUGUUGCUAUGACUUUGCUAUACUUAAUGCUUGUCACUAGGGCCCGAGUGCCAUGAUAUCAUAUAUUAACCUAUUAUGUUUUCAUGAAUAUAUGUGUGUUCUUGAUCCUAUCUUGCAAGUCUAUAGUCACCUAUUAUGUGUUAUGAUCCAACAACCCCGAAGUGACAAUAAUCGGGAUACUUCUGGUGAUGACUGUAGUUUGAGGAGUUCAUGUAUUCACUAUGUGCUAAUGCUUUGUUCCGGUUCUCUAUUAAAAGGAGGCCUUAAUAUCCCUUAGUUUCCGUAACGACCCCGCUGAACACGGGAGGGUAGGACAAAAGAUGUCAUGCAAGUUGUUUUGCAUAAGCACGUAUGACUAUUUAUGGAAUACAUGCCUACAUUACAUUGAUGAAUUGGAGCUAGUUCUAUAUCACCCUAUGUUAUAACUAUUGCAUGAGGAAUCGCAUCCGGCAUAAUUAUCCAUCAUUGAUCCAUUGCCUAUGAGCUUUUCAUAUAUUGUUCUUCGUUUAUUUACUUUUCCGUCGCUACUAUUACAACCACUACAAAAACUCAAAAACAUUUAUCUUUACUUGUGCUACCGCUACUAUUAUUAUCAUACCACUUUUGCUACUAAACACUUUGCUGCAGAUACUAAGUUAUCUAGGUGUGGUUGAAUUGACAACUCAACUGCUAAUACUCAAGAAUAUUCUUUGGCUCCCCUUGUGUCGAAUCAAUAAAUUUGGGUUGAAUACUCUACCCUCGAAAGCUGUUGCGAUCCCCUAUACUUGUGGGUUAUCAAGACUAAUUUCUGCCGCCGUUGUCGGGGAGCAUAGCUCUAUUCUCUGAGUUACUUGGGAUUUAUAUCUGUUGAUCACUAUGAAGAACUUGAAAGAUGAUUGAACUACUAUUUUUCCCUCAACUACGAGGGGAGGUAAGGAACUGCCAUCUAGCUCUGCACUAGAUUCUCCUUUCGUUAUAAGUAAUCUUGCGACACCUAAUCCUGCUACUGCUAUGAAUUCUGAUAUGCCGCAUGUUAUUGAUGAUGCCACUUCUGCUAUGCAUGAUGAAACUACUUCUGUGCUUGAUACUACUGUGCCAUUAGGUGAAUUUCUAGAUUUACAACUUGCUAGAUUUAGGGGGAAUGAAAAUAUUGAAGAUCCUAUUACUGAUGAUAGUGAUGAUGAAGGUCCCCCCAAUGAUUAUGUUUUACCUAUUGUUCCUAAGGGUUAUGUUAUGCAUGAAACAGCUGCUAUGGAAAUUCUUGCUUGCAAUGAUAGAAAUGAUCUUAAGAAAUUAUUUGCUAAAUGGAAGCAGCAGUCUCUUAAUGCUAGAAUGAAACCUGAUCCUGCUUUUGCUACUUCACCUAUCUGUGUUACUGAUAAGGAUUAUGAAUUCUCUGUUGAUCCUGGUAUUAUUACUUUAGUUGAAUCUGAUCCUUUUUAUGGCCUUGAAUCUGAAACUGUUGUGGCACAUCUUACCAAGUUGAAUGAUAUAGCCACCCUAUUUACGCAUGAUGAGAGGUCUCGCUAUUUAUAUAUCCUUAAGAUAUUUCCAUUCUCAUUAAAGGGUGAUGCUAAGACUUGGUAUAAUUCUCUUGCUCCUGGUUGUGUGCGUAGUCCCCAGGAUAUGAUUUAUUACUUCUCUGCUAAAUAUUUCCCUGCUCAUAAGAAACAAGCUGCCUUGCGGGAAAUAUAUAAUUUUGUGCAAAUCAAAGAAGAGAGUCUCCCACAAGCUUGGGGGAGACUUCUCCGGUUACUUAAUGCUUUGCCUGAUCAUCCUCUUAAGAAAAAUGAAAUACUUGAUAUCUUCUAUAAUGGACUAACCGAUGCUUCCAAGGACUACUUGGAUAGUUGUGCUGGUUGUGUUUUCAGGGAAAGCAUAGUCGACGAAGCUGAAAUAUUAUUGAAUAAUAUGUUGACUAAUGAAAAUAAUUGGACUCUUCCUGAGCCAGUUCCUGAAGUAAUUCCUGAACCAAUUGAGCCAACUCUUGAGCCUAUUCCUAAACCCACUCCGAAGAAGAGAGGUGUUUUAUUUCUCAGUCCUGAAGAUAUGCAAGAGUCAAAGAAAUCAAUGAAAGAAAAAGGUAUUAAAGCUGAAGAUGUUAAGAAUUUACCUCCUAUUGAAGAAAUACAUGGUCUUAAUUUACCGCCUGAAGAACCACAUUUUCUUGAUAACCCGACACAGGUAGUAAAGGUAAAUUCUCUCUAUAGAUAUGAUAAAGUUGAAGUACCCUCUACUAAAUUUCAUAGCCCUUGCUUAGAUGAAUUUGAUGACUUUAUGGCUAGACAAGAAAGUUUUAAUGCUUAUGUUGGUAGAUAAUUAAAGAGCAAUGCUUAUGUUGGUAGAGAGCUAAAGAAUAAUGCUUUUGAGAUAGGACGCGUAGGUGAUAAUCUGGCUAGAGUUAAAGAUGAACUUCAUCGCGUUAGCAAAUAUGCUUCUAUGGUUGCUACUCAAGCUGAGCAAGUACUUAAAGCUCAAAAUGAUUUGCUUGAGGAAUUAAAUAAUAAAAAUGACUUUGCUGUUAGAGUGGCUACUAGAACUGGUAGAAUGACUCAGGAACCUUUGUAUCCUGAAGGACACCCUAAGAGAGUCGAGCAAGAUUCUCAGAGAAAUAAUUUAGAGGCACCUAGUUCUUCUAAAAAGAAGAAAAAGAAAAAUGAUAGAACUUUGCAUGCUUCUAGUGACCUACUGUAGACACACAUGAGAAUCCCAAUGAUAUUUCUAUCUCUGAUGCUGAAACACAAUCAGGUGAUGAACAUGAACCUAGUGAUAAUGUUAAUGAUAAUGUUCAUGUUGAUGCUCAACCUAGCAAAGACAAUGAUGUAGAGAUUGAACCUGCUGUUGAUCUUUAUAACCCACAAUCAAAGAAUCAACAUUAUGAUAAGAGAGAUUUUGUUGCUAGGAAACACGGUAAAGAAAGAGAACCAUGGGUUCAGAAACCCAUGCCCUUUCCUCCUAAACCAUCCAAGUCAAAGGAUGAUGAGGAUUUUGAGCGCUUUGCUGAAAUGAUUAGACCUAUUUUCUUACAUAUGCGCUUAACUGAUAUGUUUAAAGUAAAUCCUUAUGCUAAAUAUAUGAAGGAUAUCAUUACAAAUAAAAGAAAGAUACCGAAAGCUGAAAUUUCCACCAUGCUUGCUAAUUACACUUUUAAGGGUGGAAUACCAAAGAAACUUGGAGAUCCGGGUGUACCAAAUAUACCAUGUUCCAUUAAAAGAAAUUAUAUUAGAACUGCAUUAUGUGAUCUUGGAGCCGGUGUUAGUGUUAUGCCUCUCUCUUUAUAUCGUAGACUUGAAUUGAAUAAGUUGACACCUACUGAAAUAUCUUUGCAAAUGGCCGAUAAAUCAACUGCUAUAGCUGUCGGUAUUUGUGAGGAUGUGCCUGUUGUGGUUGCAAAUGUCACUAUCUUAACGGACUUUGUUAUUCUUGAUAUUCCCGAGGACGAUAGUAUGUCUAUUAUCCUUGGUAGACCUUUUCUUAAUACUACAGGGUUUGUUGUUGAUUGCAACAAAGGCAAUGUCACUUUUCAUGUUAAUGGUAAUGAGCAUACGGUACACUUUCCGAGGAAACAAUCUCAAGUUCAUAGCAUCAAUUCUAUUGAAAAAGUUCCAACUAUCAUUUUUGGAGGUUUUGAAUUUCCUCUCCCUACUGUCAAGAAAAAGCAUGAUAUUCUUAUUGUUGGGGAUUUUCAUAUCCCCGUUGAGGUAACUUAGUGUUAUUCGAAGUUUCUUCGGUUCCGUGUUAUUUGGAAUGAGUUUGUUAACAAGACUUGAUCAGCCUUGUUAGUGGAUUCAUUUUGAUGAUCACGAGAUGGAUGAAACUAGAAGGCACAACCUUCUGUACCCACUUUUUACUUUCUGUUAUUUAGAAUAAAUAAAGCAAAAAUAGUAUUAUCUGUCUGUUUUCUGAAUUAUCCGUGCAUUAAAAAAUAGUCUGAAAAUAAAAGUGCUCCAAAUGCUCUGCAAAUUUAGUAUGAUUUUUUUCUGGAACAUUUAAGGAUUUUAGGCACUGAAAACACUGCAAAAGGGGCAAGCACCAGGCCACGAGAGAGGAGGGCGUGCCCCCCUUGUAGGGUGUGCCCCCUGUCUCGUGGGCCCCUGGUGGCUCCCCUCCACUUAUGCCAGCACCCACACACUUCAUCUUCUACCCAAAAAUCCCCAUCCAGCUGAAACCCAAGUUCUAGCUCGUUUUGCUGCGAUUUUCGAUCUCUUAGCUCAAAGCUCCAUUCGCAAAACUGCUUUGGGAGAUUGUUGCUUGGUAUGGGACUCCUCCAUUGGUCCAAAUAGUUUUUGUUCUAGUGCUUUAUUCAUUGCAAAUUUGUGCUGCAUAGGUGACCAUGUUCUUGAGAUUGCAUGUUAAAUUUUUGAGGUCCCAAGCAAUUCCACUGCAUGAUAUAGGCUCUUGCCACUUGUAGGAGUAGUUGCUAUCAAUCUUGUUUAGUUUUAUUCACUUUUAUUUUGAAGUUACUAAAAAUUUCAGAAAUUUUCAGAAAAAGAAAUAUGCUUAGAAGAUGUACCAAGGUGGUUCCUCGGCAAAGAAAGGGCCAAGAAUUGCUAUACGUGAACAAGAUGUUAAUUUGCCAAGGGACGCAAAUGUACGGGCUUGCGAGUGGCCAUCCGAUGAUUUUAUGGUUGAAGCAGGCUUCAAGGGGGAAUUUGACGCGUAUGUGCGUAAUGCUGAGCUUGAGGACUUCUUACAAGAUAAGUGUCCCCAAUAUUAUCAAUUGACUGAUUUCUUUGUGCGGAGGUUCGAAUAUAUUUCUUCGCGUAAUUCUCCUAGUGUUAUGUUUGAUAUUUAUGAUACAUCUUAUACCAUGGAUUUAGAGGAUUUCACAACUACUUGCAAACUCCCGUAGUGGGGUAAUAUUAAUGAUCCUCCCAAAUCUGAAGUUAGAGAUUUUCUUGCUAGUAUUACUGUGGGAGAAUCUAGGGACGUAACACAAGCUACCAUAGGGAGCAUUCAUUUUCCUGCUAUACAUUACUUUGCUCUCUUUAUUGGUAGAUGCAUUAACGGUAAGGACGAAGUAUGUCACAUGUGUGCCCCUGAUCUUUGUGUCCUCAAGAGUGAUGUGUCAAGUUAUAGAGGUUAUAACUUGGGGGCAAUAGUUGCACGUAGGUUGCAUAAUAAUAAUAGAAGGGGAGAUUUCUUUAGAGGAAUUUAUGCAACCCGUGUGGCUAAUUUUCUUAAUAUAGCCCCACAAGAGGGGGAUAUGAUUGUACUUCCUGUUUAUUUGGAUAAAGAAGCUAUGUUUGAUCAUCAUUUUCUUGAGAGGAAUGAGCAAUUCCUCCAUUAUCAACUAACCUAUAACAGACGCAACAUCGUCCCUGUUACUCUUCCUGCUCCAUACCUUUUUGAUUAUCAGACAAAAGGAAGAUAUGUUGUCACCAGGGAAGAAGCCACCGAAUAUGAGAGGGGAAUGGAGGCAGCUCGCCAACACGCUGUUGCUUAGGAGGUGGUCGCCUCUUCAUCUCAGUACUACCCCGGCUACUCUUAUGGAUAUCAGCCAGGCGGUCAUUGGUAUUAUACCAACUUAGGCCAAAAGCCUAAGCUUGGGGGAGUACAUAUUUCUCACCGACUUUACAUUCAUGUCCACACACUAGUCGUCGGUGCUCACACUCUUUCAUUGUAUUAUCCAUGUUAGUUUAAAUUUCUUUUUCUAGUUUUCUUCUUGUGUAUUUGUUAAACCUUAAGAAAAACCAAAAAAAUUAGUUAGUUUAAUUUCCUUUCUUUUAGUAGAAAUUAAAAUGAAAAAAAAUGAAAAAACCAAAAAGAUUUCUCGUUCUUCUUUUACUUGUUGGGAGAUUUCUCGUGUAAAUAGUUUUAUUUUCUUUUCUUUCUUUUGGGGGUCGAGAAGACUAUAUUGAAAAUGCUUAGUGGCUCUUAUAUGCAUGAUUGUUUAUUUAACUUAGAUCCCACAUUACUUGUCUUAUCUCUUGAGUUGAAUGCUUGCAGAUUCCAGCUUAGUCCAAUGCACGUGCACUCUUAUUAUUAUACACAUCGUUCGGUCGUGCAAGUGAAAGGCAAUAAUGAUGAUAUAUGAUGGACUUAUUGGGAUGAAAAAGCUGGUAUGAACUCGACCUCUCUUGUUUUUGUAAAUAUGAUGAGUUCAUCAUUCCUGAGUCAGCUAUUAUGAAGUAAACAUAUUUGCAAUGACAUUUAGAGAUUAUAGUUGCUUGUGCCAUGCUUGAUUAGCUAUGAGUUAUAAUGGUUUACCUUGUGUGCCAACAUGCUAUUAGAAUGAUUAUGAUGUGGUAUGAUGGGAUGGUACCCUCCUUUGAAUGUAUUAAGUGACUCGACUUGGCACAUGUUCACACAUGUAGUUGAAUCAAAUCAACAUAGCCUUCAUGAUAUUUAUGUUCAUGGCAGAUUAUAUCCUACUCAUGCUUGUACUCGGUGUAAAUUAAUUUUAAUGCAUGUUUACGACUGUUGUCGCUCUCUCAGUUGGUCACUCCCCAGUCUUUUGCUAGCCUUCACCUGUACUAAGCGGGAAUACUGCUUGUGCAUCCAAACUCCUUAAACCCCAAAGUUGUUCCAUAUGAGUCCACUAUACCUUCCUAUAUGCGGUAUUUACCUGCCGUUCCAAGUAAAUUUGUAUGUGCCAAACUCCAAACCUUCAAAUGAAAUUCUGUUUUGUAUGCUCGAGCAGCUCAUGCUUCAACUAGGGCUGCCUAUAUCUUCCAUGCUAGGUGGGUUAUUCUCAAGAGGAGUGGACUCCACUCCUCAUUCAUGAGAAAGGGCCGGUAACCGGGAUGCACAGUCCCAUGAUCCAAAAAGAUCAAAGCAAAUCAAAAUAAUUAAACAAAACUCCCCCAGGGCAGUUGUAUGUUGGAGGCACUCGUUGUUUCGAGCAAGCCAUGGAUUGAUGCUUGUUGGUGGUUGGCGGAGUAUAAACCUUUACCAUUCUGUUUGGGAACUGUCUAUAAUGCAUGUAGUAUGGAAGAUACAUCCAUCUCAUAGUUGUUGCGUUGACAACAAAAGUAUGCCGCUCAAAAUGUUAUUCAAUCUCUAUUUUAAAAUCGAGCUCUAGCACCUCUACAAAUCCCUGCUUCCCUCUGUGAAGGGCCUAUCUAUUUACUUUUAUGUUGAGUCAUCACCCUUCUUAUUAAAAAGCACCCGCUGGAGAGCACACUGUCAUUUGCAUUCAUUAUUAUUGGUUUAUAUUGGGUAUGACUUGACUAGAUCUCUUUUACCAUGAAUUACAAUGUUUAGUCACUCCUUGAUCUUUAAAGGUGCUCUGCAUUUAUGUUUUGCGGUCUCAGAAAGGGCUAGCGAGAUACAAUUUUGUUAUAUCAUGUUAUGAUUAUUUUGAGAAAGUGUUGUCAUCCGAGUUUUAUUAUUAUAGCUCGCUAGCUGAUUAUGUUAUUGAUAUGAGUAGUUGUGAGACCUAUGUGUUAUUAUUAGUAUGGUUAGUUCAUAAUAUUUGCUGAAACUUGAAUGCUGGCUUUUCAUGUUACAACAACAAGAGCAAACAGAGUUUGUAAAAGUUUUUCUUUAUCACUUUCAGUUUAUCAACUGAAUUGCUUGAGGACAAGCAAAUGUUUAAGCUUGGGGGAGUUGAUACGUCUCCAACGUAUCUACUUUUCCAAACACUUUUGCCCUUGUUUUGGACUCUAACUUGCAUGAUUUGAAUGAAACUAACCCGGACUGACGCUGUUUUUAGCAGAACUACCAUGAUGUUGUUUUAUGUGUAGAAAAGAAAAGUUCUCGGAAUGUCCUGGAAAUCCACGGAGGCACUUUUCAGAAUUAAUAAGAAUUUUUGGCGAAAGAAUCAAGGCCAGGGGGCCCACGGGCUGUCCACGAGACAGGCCCCCCCCUAGGGCGCGCCCUCCUAUCUCGUGGCCCCCCUGGACACCUCCCGACCUCAACUCCAACUCCAUAUAUACCGUCUCAGGGAGAAAAAAUCAAGGAGAAAGUUUCAUCGUGUUUCAUGACACGGAGCCACCGCCAAGCCCUAAUCUCUCUCGGGAGGGCCGAUCUGGAGUCUGUUCGGGGCUCCGGAGAGGGGGAUUCGUCGCCGUCAUCAUCAUCAACCAUCCUCCAUCACCAAUUUCAUGAUGCUCACCAUCGUGCGUGAGUAAUUCCAUCGUAGGCUUGCUGGACGGUGAUGGGUUGGAUGAGAUUUACCAUGUAAUCAAGUUAGUUUUGUUAGGGUUUGAUCCCUAGUAUCCACUAUGUUCUGAGAUUGAUGUUGCUAUGACUUUGCUAUGCUUAAUGCUUGUCACUAGGGCCCGAGUGCCAUGAUUUUAGAUCUGAACCUAUUAUGUUUUCAUGAAUAUAUGUGUGUUCUUGAUCCUAUCUUGCAAGUCUAUAGUUACCUAUUAUGUGUUAUGAUCCGACAACCCUGAAGUGACAAUAAUCGGGAUACUUCUCAGUGAUGACCGUAGUUUGAGGAGUUCAUGUAUUCACUAUGUGCUAAUGCUUUGUUCCGGUUCUCUAUUAAAAGGAGGCCUUAAUAUCCCUUAGUUUCCGUAAGGACCCCACUGAACACAGGAGGGUAGGACAAAAGAUGUCAUGCAAGUUCUUUUCCAUAAGCACGUAUGACUAUUUACGGAAUGCAUGCCUACAUUACAUUGAUGAAUUGGAGCUAGUUCUAUAUCACCCUAUGUUAUAACUAUUGCAUGAGGAAUCGCAUCCGGCAUAAUUAUCCAUCAUUGAUCCAUUGCCUAAGAGCUUUUCAUAUAUUGUUCUUCGUUUAUUUACUUUUCCGUUGCUACUGUUACAACCACUACAAAAACCCAAAAACAUUUAUCUUUACUUUUGCUACCGCUACUAUUAUCAUCAUACCACUUUUGCUACUAAACACUUUGCUGCAGAUACUAAGUUAUCCAGGUGUGGUUGAAUUGACAACUCAACUGCUAAUACUCAAGAAUAUUCUUUGGCUCCCCUUGUGUCGAAUCAAUAAAUUUGGGUUGAAUACUCUACCCUCGAAAGCUGUUGCGAUCCCCUAUACUUGUGGGUUAUCAGAGUGCAAGUCAAGAAGCAGCCGAGGAAGCCACGAGAUAGGAGGCCGCCCCCCUGUAGGGUGCGCCCCCUGUCUCGUGGGCCCCUCGGGCGGCCACCGACGUACUUCUUCCUACUAUAUAUACCUACAUACCCCGAAAACAUCCAGGGGCACCAUGAAACACAAUUUCCACCACGUAACCUUCUGUAUCCACAAGAUCCCAUCUUGGAGCCUUCACCGGCACUCUGCCGGAGGGGGAAUCGACCAUGGAGGGCUUCUACAUCAACAUCCUUGCCCCUCCGAUGAGUCGUGAGAAGUUUACCACGGACCUACGGGUCCAUAGUUAUUAGCUAGAUGGCUUCUUCUCUCUUUUUGGAUCUCAAUACAAUGUUCUCCCCCUCUCUUGUGGAGAUCUAUUCGAUGUAAACUCUUUUUGCGGUGUGUUUGUCGAGAUUCAAUGAAUUGUGGGUUUAUGAUCAAGUUUAUCUAUGAAUUAUAUUUGAAUCUUCUCUGAAUUCUUUUAUGUAUGAUUGAGUUAUAUUUGCAAGUCUCUUCGAAUUAUCAGUUUGGUUUGGCCUACUAGAUUGAUCUUUCUUGCCAUGGGAGAAGUGCUUAGCUUUGGGUUCAAUUUUGCGGUGUCCUGACCCAGUGACAGAAAGGGUUGCAAGGCACGUAUUGUAUUGUUGCCAUCGAGGAUAACAAGAUGGGGUUUAUAUCAUAUUGCUUGAGUUUAUCCCUCCACAUCAUGUCAUCUUGCUUAAUGCGUUACUCUGUUCUUAUGAACUUAAUACUCUAGAUGCAUGCUGGAUAGCAGUCGAUGUGUGGAGUAAUAGUAGUAGAUGCAGGCAGGAGUCGGUCUACUUGUUAUGGACGUGAUGCCUAUAUACAUGAUCAUGCCUAGAUAAUCUCAUAACUAUGCGCUUUUCUAUCAAUUGCUCGACAGUAAUUUGUUCACCCACCGUAAUACUUAUGCUAUCUUGAGAGAAGCCACUAGUGAAACCUAUGGCCCCCGGGUCUAUCUCUUAUCAUAUUUGCUUUCAAUCUUCUUUUAUUUGCAUCUUUACCUUUUGCAUCUAUAUUAUAAAAUGCCAAAAAUAUAUUUAUCUUAUCAUACUAUCUUUAUUAGAUCUCACUUUCGCAAGUGGCCGUGAAGGGAUUGACAACCCCUUUAUUGCGUUGGUUGCGAGUUCUCAGUUUGUUUGUGUAGGUACGUGGGACUUUUGAGGAUCCUCCUACUGGAUUGAUACCGAGGGAAAUACUUACGCUACACUUGCUGCAUCACCCUCUCCUCUUCGAGGAAAACCAACGCAAGCUCAAGACGUAGCAAGAAGGAUUUCUGGCGUCGUUGCCGGGGAGGUCUUCGCUCAAGUCAAGACAUACCAAGUACCCAUCACAAACCCAUCUCCCUCGCAUUUACAUUAUUUGCCAUUUGCCUCUCGUUUUCCUCUCCCCCACUUCACCCUUGUCGUUUUAUUUGCCCUCUCUUUCCCAAUCUCCUCCUCUCUUUUUCUCUCGCUUUCUUCCGCCUUGCUUUUGUUUGCCGCUAUGUCUGAAUUUGGGGAGAUUAUCGUCGAUAUGGACAAUAAUGAUAACACAGAAAAUCCCGAGGCUCCGGCCGAUGAACCCCCUAUCUUGCAUACUAAAAAGUUUCGAAUCGGUAGUGGUAACAUCAUUGGCAAAGGUGUUAUUCAAGACUUCUUUACUUGUGCCGGUGCUUUACCUUCCAUGGGUUGUUCUAUUCUUCAUAGAACUAGUAGCCUUGCGGAUGCUAUCGCUAUGCUUGUAGUUGAACUUGAAAGACAAUUUAUGCAUAUGCAUCCUUGCAUACAAAGAAUUUUCCUAGAAUUCUCUAAUAUUGAGCAUUCUUCUGUUAAGCGUGCUGUUACUAUCUUUUUGGCUCAUGAGUUUAGAUUUAUCAUAAGAGAGGCCAAAGAAAUCUUUGUGCACUAUAGGGUGGACGCCGGUCGUCCUCCCAUAGAGGCAAUCCUCUAUGAUCAAGAAGAAUUUAGACGUUUUCAAUCUUCGGACUAUGUCGCUUUUAAUGAAAACCUUAGAAAAAAAGGUUCCUACCAAUGUCUUGGUUGAUUGCAUUAACGAACUUAAUAAUGAUUUUGCCCUUCGAAACAAUGAGCUAGGAUACUCUCUUGAGUAUAGGCUCACAAAAUUUUGCCAAAAGAAUGCUUUUAGUAAUGAAAUAGUUGUGCACUAUGAAGGGCCAAAGGAGGAACCCAUUCCUCCUGUGAUUGAUCUUGGGGACCUUUGCCCCACUAAUUUUAGCCCUUUUGAUUACUUUUGCUUCCCUCAAAGAAAAGUUGCUGCCGAACGUAGAGAAUAUGAGAUGAGCUUUCAAGAUCUAUCUUAUUAUUAUGGCACCCGUUAGAUCUAUCUUUGCUUUUAAGCCUAGCUAGGGGCGUUAAACGAUAGCGCUAGUUGGGAGGCAACCCAAUUUUUCUUUAUGUUUUUUGUUUUUGCUCCUGUUUAGUAAUAAAUCUUGCAUCUACCUUCUGUUUAGAUGUGUUUUUAUCUUUUAAUUAGUGUUUGUGCCAAGUAGAACCUAUAGGAUAACCUACGAUGAUACUUGAUUUGAUUCUGCUGAAAAACAGAAACUUUGCACGCACGAAUAUAAUUUUGUUAAAUCACAGGAACGUGCUUUUGCGUUGAUUCUUUUUUAUGCUGUUCAAUAAACAAAUUGUCCAAGACUUCCUAUUUUGGUAGGAUUUUUAGAGUUCCAGAAGUUUGCGUUAGUUACAGAUUGCUACAGACUGUUCUGUUUUUGACAGAUUCUGUUUUUUGUUUUUUGUUUGCUUAUUUCAAUGCAUCUAUGGCUAGUAAAUUAGUUUAUAAACCAUAAAUAAGUUGGAAUACAGUAGGUUUAACACCAAAAUAAAUAAAUAAUGAGUUCAUUGCAGUACCUUAUGUGGUGGUUUUGUUUUCUUUCACUAACGGAACUUAUAAGAUUUCCUGUUGAGUUUUGUGUUGUGAAGUUUUCAAGUUUUGGGUAAAGCUUUUAUGGACUAUGGAAUAAGGAGUGGCAAGGGCCUAAGCUUGGGGAUGCCCAAGGCACCCCAAGAUAUUCAAGAAUAGCCAAAAUCCUAAGCUUGGGGAUGCCCCGGGAAGGAAUCCCCUCUUUCGUCUUCGUUCAUUGGUAACUUUACUUGGAGCUAUAUUUUUAUUCGCCACAUGAUAUGUGUUUUGCUUGGAGCGUCGUGUAUUAUGUUAGUCUUUGAUUUUUUGUUUACCACAAUCAUCCUUUCUGUACACACCUUUUGGGAGAAGCCUAUUUGAUUAGAAUUUGCUAGAAUACUCUAUGUGCUUCACUUAUAUCUUUUGAGCUUGAUAGUUUUUGCUCUAGUGCUUCACUUAUAUCUUUUAGAGCACGGUGGUGUCUUAAUUUUGAAGAAAUUGCUAGUCUCUCAUGCUUCACUUAUAUAUUUUUGAGAGUCUUUUAGAACAGCAUGGUAUUUGCUAUGGUCAUAAAGUUGGUCCUAGAAUGAUGAGCAUCCAAGUUGGGUAUAAUAAAAACUAUCAUAGAAAAAGAAUUGGAUGCUAUGAUCAAUUUGAUGCUUGAUAAUUGUUUUCAGAUAUAAAGGUAGUAAUGUUAGGGUCAUGCUAGUGGGUAAUUAUGAAAUUGAGAAAUACUUUUGUUGAAGUUGGCAAGUCCCGUAGCAUGCACGUAUGGUAAAAGUUGUGUGACAAAUUUGUUGCAUGAGGUGCUCUUUUGAGUGUCUUCCUUAUGAAUGGCAGUCGGGGAUGAGCGAUGGUCUUUUCCUACCAAUCUAUCCCUCUUGGGGCAUGCAUAGUAGUACUUUGCUUCGAGGGCUAAGUAGGCUUUUGCAAUAAGUAUAUGAGUUCUCUUUUGACUAAUGUGAGUCCAUGGACAUAGGCACACUCAUCCUUUUUUUUACGUUGCUAGCCUUUAUUAUUACCGCGCAACUUUCGCCGGUAUCAUAAACCCCUUAUUUACCUUCCUCAAAACAUCCACCAUACCUAACUAUUAUGGCAUUUCCAUAGCCAUUCCGAGAUAUAUUGCCAUGCAACUUUCCACCGUUCCGUUUAUUAUGACACGUUCCAUUAUUGUCAUAUUGCUCUUUGCAUGAUCAUGUAGUUGACAUCGUAUUUGUGGCUAGACCACCUUCAUAAUUUUCAUACAUGUCGCUCUUGAUUCAUUGCAUAUCCCGGUACACCGCCAGAGGCAUUCAUAUAGAGUCAUAUCUUGUUCUAGCUUUGAGUUGUAAUUCUUGAGUUGUAAAUCCAUAAAAGUGUGAUGAUCUUCAUUAUUAGAGCAUUGCCCUAGUGAGGAAAGGAUGAUGAUGGCUAUGAUUCCCCCACAAGUCGGGAUGAGACUUCGGACUUUACAAAAAGAAAAAAAAAAGAGAAAGGCCAAAAAAAAAGAAAGGCCAAAGAAAGAAAAAAAGAAAAAAAGGAAAAAAAAGGAGAGAAAGAAAUAAAAAAAGAAAAAAAAAUAAGAGAAAAAGAGAGAAGGGACAAUGCUACUAUCUCUUUUUCCACACUUGUGCUUCAAAGUAGCACCAUGAUAUUCAUGAUAGAGAGUCUCCUAUGUUGUCACUUUCAUAUACUUAGUGGGAAUUUUUCAUUAUAAAACUUGGCUUGUAUAUUCCAAUGAUGGGCUUCCUCAAAAUGCCCGAGGUCUUCGUGAGCAAGCAAGUUGGAUGCACACCCACUUAGUUUCUUUUGUUGAGCUUUCAUAUAUUUAUAGCUCUAGUGCAUCAGUUGCAUGGCAAUCCCUACUCACUCACAUUGAUAUCUAUUGAUGGGCACCUCUAUAUAGCCCGUUGAUACGCCUAGUUGAUGUGAGACUAUCUUCUCCCUUUUUGUCCUCACAAACACCACCAUAUACCACCAUAGUGUUAUGUCCAUGGCUUACGCUCAUGUAUUGCGUAAGAGUUGAAAAAUAUGAAGCGCGUUAAAAAGUAUGAAACAAUUUCUCGGCUCGUCAUCGGGGUUGUGCAUGAUGGGAGUAUUUUGUGUAAUGAAAAUGAAGCAUGGCCUAACCAUAUGAUUUCGUAGGGAUAAGCUUUCUUUGACUAUGUUAUUUUGAUAGGACAUGAUUAUUUGUUAGUAUGCUUUGAUGCAUUAUUAUUUUUAUGUUUUAUAAGCUUUUAUUUUGAAUCAUUUGGAUAUGAACAUUCAUGCCACAAUAAAGAAAACUACAUUGAGAAUUAUGCUAGGUAGCAUUCCACAUCAAAAAAUUCCUUUUUAUCAUUUACCUACUCGAGUACGAGCAGGAAUUAAGCUUGGGGAUGCUUGAUAUGUCUCCAACGUACCUAUAAUUUUUUAUUGUUCCAUGCUAUUAUAUUACCCCUUUUGGAUGUUUAUGGGCUUUAUUUUACACAUUUAUAUCAUUUUUGGGACUAACCUACUAACCGGAGCCCCAGCUCGUAUUGCUGUUUUUUUUCCUAUUUCAGUAUUUCGAAGAAAAGGAAUAUCAAACGGAGUCCAAACGGAAUGAAACCUUCAGGAGCGUGAUUUUUGGAACGAACGUGAUCCGAAGAGCUUGGAAUGUAAGUCAACUGCUAAUACUCAAGAAUAUUCUUUGGCUCCCCUUGUGUCGAAUCAAUAAAUUUGGGUUGAAUACUCUACCCUCGAAAGUUGUUGCGAUUCCCUAUACUUGUGGGUUAUUAGAGUGCAAGUCAAGAAGCAGCCGAGGAAGCCACGAGAUAGGAGGCCGCCCCCCCCCCCUGUAGAGGGCGCCCCUGUCUCGUGGGCCCCUCGGGCGGCCACCGACGUACUUCCUCCUCCUAUACAUACCUACGUACCCCGAAAACAUUCAGGGGCACCACGAAACACAAUUUCCACCAUCGUAACCUUUUGUAUCUGCAAGAUCCCAUCUUGGAGCCUUCGCCGGCACUCUGCCGGAGGGGGAAUCGACCACCGAGGGCUUAUACAUCAACAUCCUUGCCCCUCCGUUGAGUUGUGAGUAGUUUACCACAGACCUACGGGUCCAUAAUUAUUAGCUAGAUGGCUUCUUCUCUCUUUUUGGAUCUCAAUACCAUGUUCUCCCCCUCUCUUGUGGAGAUCUAUCCGAUGUAAACUCUUUUUGCGGUGUGUUUGUCGAGAUCCGAUGAAUUGUGGGUUUAUGAUCAAGUUUAUCUAUGAAUAAUAUUUGAAUCUUCUCUGAAUUCUUUUAUGUAUGGUUGAGUUAUCUUUGCAAGUCUCUUCGAAUUAUCAGUUUGGUUUGGCCUACUAGAUUGAUCUUUCUUGCCAUGGGAGAAGUGCUUAGCUUUGGGUUCAAUCUUGCGGUGUCCUUACCCAGUGACAGAAAGGGUUGCAAGGCACGUAUUGUAUUGUUGCCAUCGAGGAUAACAAGAUGGGGUUUAUAUCAUAUUGCUUGAGUUUAUCCCUCCACAUCAUGUCAUCUUGCUUAUUGCGUUACUCUGUUCUUAUGAACUUAAUACUCUAGAUGUUGGGGAACGUAGUAAUUUCAAAAAAUUUCCUACGCACACGCAAGUCAUGGUGAUGCAUAGCAACGAGAGGGGAGAGUGUUGUCUACGUACCCUCGUAGACCGAAGCGGAAGCGUUGACGCAACAUAGAGGAAGUAGUCGUACGUCCUCCUGGUCCAACCGAUCCAAGCACCGUUACACCGGCACCUCCGAGUUCUUGACACACGUACAACUCGAUGACGCACCCCGAUCUCCGAUCUAGCAGAGGCGCGGGGAGGAGUUCCGCCAGCACAAUGGCAUGGUGAUGAUCUUGAUGUUCUACUGUCGCAGGGCUUCGCCUAAGCACCGCUACAAUAUGACCGAGGUUUAAUCUUGUGGAGGGGGGCACCGCACACGGCUAAGGAACGAUCUCAAUGAUCAACUUGUGUGUCUAUGGGGUGCCCCCCGCCCCCGUAUAUAAAGGAGGAAGGGAGGAGGAGGCCGGCCCAAGGGGGAGGCGUGCCCUAGGGGGGCAAACCUACUCCAAGUAGGUUUGGCCCCCCUUUCCUAUUAGGAGUAGGAGAAGGAAGGAAGAGGGGGAGGAGAGAAGGAAAGGGGGGGCCACCCCCCCUCCCAAUUCGGAUUGGGCUUGGGGGGGGGGGCGCCCCCUCCCUUGCUCCUUCUCCCUCCCUUUCACUAAGGCCCAAUAAGGCCCAUAUACUUACCGAGGGGUUCCGAUAACCUCCCGGAACUCCGAUAUAAUCCCAAUCUCAUUCGGAACCUUUCCGGUGUCCAAAUAUAUCCGUCCAAUAUAUCAAUCUUCAUGUCUCGACCAUUUCGAGACUCCUCGUCACGUCCGUGAUCACAUCCGGGAUUCCGAACAACCUUCGGUACAUCAAAAUACAUAAACUCAUAAUAUAACUGUCAUCGAAACCUUAAGCGUGCGGACCCUACGGUUCGAGAACAAUGUAGACAUGACCGAGACACGUCUCCGGUCAAAAACCAAUAGCGAGACCUGGAUGCCCAUAUUGGUUCCUACAUAUUCUACGAAGAUCUUUAUCGGUCAAACCGCAUAACAACAUACGUUGUUCCCUUUGUCAUCGGUAUGUUACUUGCCCGAGAUUCGAUCGUCGGUAUCCAAUACCUAGUUCAAUCUCGUUACCGGCAAGUCUCUUUACUCGUUCCGUAAUACAUCAUCUCGCAACUAACUCAUUAGCUAAAAUUCUUGCAAGGCUUAAGUGAUGUGUAUUACCGAGAGGGCCCAGAGAUACCUCUCCGACAUUCGGAGUGACAAAUCCUAAUCUCGAAAUACGCCAACUCAACAAGUACCUUUGGAGACACCUAUAGAGCACCUUUAUAAUCACCCAGUUACGUUGUGACAUUUGGUAGCACACAAAGUGUUCCUUCGGUAAACGGGAGUUGCAUAAUCUCAUAGUAACAGGAACAUGUAUAAGUCAUGAAGGAAGUAAUAGCAACAUACUAAACGAUCAGGUGCUAGGCUAAUGGAAUGGGUCAUGUCAAUCAGAUCAUUCAACUAAUGAUGUGACCUUGUUAAUCAAAUAACAACUCCUUGUUCAUGGUUAGAAAACAUAACCAUCUUUGAUUAACAAGCUAGUCAAGUAGAGGCAUACUAGUGACACUCUGUUUGUCUAUAUAUUCACACAUGUAUUAUGUUUCCGGUUAAUACAAUUCUAGCAUGAAUAAUAAACAUUUAUCAUGAUAUAAGGAAAUAGAUAAUAACUUUAUUAUUGCCUCUAGGGCAUAUUUCCUUCAGUCUCCCACUUACACUAGAGUCAAUAAUCUAGAUUACACAGUAAUGAUUCUAACACCCAUGGAGUCUUGGUGUUGAUCAUGUUUUGCUCGUGGAAGAGGCUUAGUCAACGGGUCUGCAACAUUCAGAUCCGUAUGUAUCUUGCAAAUCUCUAUGUCUCCCACCUGGACUUGAUCCCGGAUGGAAUUGAAGCGUCUCUGGAUGUGCUUGGUUCUCUUGUGAAAUCUGGAUUCCUUCGCUAAGGCAAUCGCUCCUGUAUUGUCACAAAAGAUUUUCAUUGGACCCGAUGCACUAGGUAUGACACCUAGAUCGGAUAUGAACUCCUUCAUCCAGACUCCUUCAUUGGCUGCUUCCGAAGCAGCUAUGUAUUCCGCUUCACACGUAGAUCCCGCCACGACGCUUUGCUUUGAACUGCACCAACUGACAGCUCCACCGUUUAAUGUAAACACGUAUCCGGUUUGCGAUUUAGAAUCGUCCGGAUCCGUGUCAAAGCUUGCAUCAACGUAACCAUUUACGAUGAGCUCUUUGUCACCUCCAUAUACGAGAAACAUAUCCUUAGUCCUUUUCAGGUACUUCAGGAUGUUCUUGACCGCUGUCCAGUGAUCCACUCCUGGAUUACUUUGGUACCUCCCUGCUAGACUUAUAGCAAGGCACACAUCAGGUCUGGUACACAGCAUUGCAUACAUGAUAGAGCCUAUGGCUGAAGUAUAGGGAACAUUUUUCAUUUUCUCUCUAUCUUCUGCAGUGGUCGGGCUUUGAGUCUUACUCAACUUCACACCUUGCAAUACAGGCAAGAACCCUUUCUUUGCUUGAUCCAUUUUGAACUUCUUCAAAACUUUGUCAAGGUAUGUGCUUUGUGAAAGUCCAAUUAAGUGUUUUGAUCUAUCUCUAUAGAUCUUAAUGCCCAAUAUGUAAGCAGCUUCACCGAGGUCUUUCAUUGAAAAACUUUUAUUCAAGUAUCCCUUUAUGCUAUCCAGAAAUUCUAUAUCAUUUCCAAUCAAUAAUAUGUCAUCCACAUAUAAUAUUAGAAAUGCUACAGAGCUCCCACUCACUUUCUUGUAAAUACAUGCUUCUCCAAAAGUCUAUAUAAACCCAAAUGCUUUGAUCACACUAUCAAAACGUUUAUUCCAACUCCGAGAGGCUUGCACCAGUCCAUAAAUGGAUCGCUGGAGCUUGCACACUUUGUUAGCUCCCUUUGGAUCGAUAAAACCUUCUGGUUGCAUCAUAUACAACUCUUCUUCCAGAAAUCCAUUCAGGAAUGCAGUUUUUACAUCCAUUUACCAAAUUUCAUAAUCAUAAAAUGCGGCAAUUGCUAACAUGAUUCGGACAGACUUAAGCAUCGCUACGGGUGAGAAGGUCUCAUCGUAUUCAACCCCUUGAACUUGUCGAAAACCUUUUGCAACAAGUCGAGCUUUGUAGACAGUAACAUUACCGUCAGCGUCAGUCUUCUUCUUGAAGAUCCAUUUAUUCUCAAUUGCUUGCCGACCAUCGGGCAAGUCAACCAAAGUCCAUACUUUGUCCUCAUACAUGGAUCCCAUCUCAGGUUUCAUGGCUUCAAGCCAUUUUGCGGAAUCUGGGCUCACCAUCGCUUCUUCAUAGUUCGUAGGUUCAUCAUGAUCUAGUAGCAUGACUUCCAGAAUAGGAUUACCGUACCACUCUGGUGCGGAUCUUACUCUGUUUGACCUACGAGGUUCUGUAUUAACUUGAUCUGAAGUUCUAUGAUCAUCAUCAUCAUCUUCCUCACUAGUUGGUUUUGACGUCACAGAAACCGGUUCCUGUGAUGUAUUAUUUUCCAACAAGGGAGUAGGUACAGUUACCUCAUCAAGUUCUACUUUCCUCUCACUCACUUCUUUCGAGAGAAACUCCUUCUCUAGAAAGGAUCCAUUCUUAGCAACGAAUGUCUUGCCUUCGGAUCUGUGAUAGAAGGUGUACCCAACUGUCUCCUUUGGGUAUCCUAUGAAGACACAUUUUUCCGAUUUGGGUUCGAGCUUAUCAGGUUGAAGCUUUUUCACAUAAGCAUCGCAUCCCCAAACUUUAAGAAAUGACAACUUUGGUUUCUUGCCAAACCAUAGUUCAUAAGGUGUCGUCUCAACGGAUUUCGACGGUGCCCUAUUUAAUGUGAAUGUGGCCGUCUCUAAAGCAUAACCCCAAAACGAUAGCGGUAAAUCUGUAAGAGACAUCAUAGAUCGCACCAUAUCAAGUAAAGUGCGAUUACGACGUUCGGACACACCAUUACGCUGUGGUGUUCCGGGUGGCGUGAGUUGCGAAAUUAUUCCACAUUGUUUUAAGUGUAGACCAAACUCGUAACUCAAAUAUUCUCCUCCACGAUCAGAUCGUAGAAACUUUAUUUUCUUGUUACGAUGAUUUUCAACUUCACUCUGAAAUUCUUUGAACUUUUCAAAUGUUUCAGACUUAUGCUUCAUUAAGUAGAUAUACCCAUAUCUGCUUAAAUCAUCUGUGAAGGUGAGAAAAUAACGAUAUCCGCCACGAGCCUCAACAUUCAUCGGACCACCUACAUCUGUAUGUAUGAUUUCCAACAAAUCUGUUGCUCUCUCCAUAGUACCGGAGAACGACAUUUUAGUCAUCUUGGCCAUGAGGCACGGUUCGCAAGUACCAAGUGAUUCAUAAUCAAGUGGUUCCAAAAGACCAUCAGUAUGGAGUUUCUUCAUGCGCUUUACACCGAUAUGACCUAAACGGCAGUGCCACAAAUAAGUUGCACUAUCAUUAUCAACUCUGCAUCUUUUGGCUUCAACACUAUGAAUAUGUGUAUCACUACUAUCGAGAUUUAUCAAAAAUAGACCACUCUUCAAGGGUGCAUGACCAUAAAAGAUAUUACUCAUAUAAAUAGAACAACCAUUAUUCUCUGAUUUAAAUGAAUAACCGUCUCGCAUCAAACAAGAUCCAGAUAUAAUGUUCAUGCUCAACGCUGGCACCAAAUAACAAUUAUUUAGGUCUAAUACUAAUCCCGAAGGUAGAUGUAGAGGUAGCGUGCCGACUGCGAUCACAUCGACUUUGGAACCAUUUCCCACGUGCAUCGUCACCUCGUCCUUUGCUAGUGUUCGCUUAAUCCGUAGUCCCUGUUUCGAGUUGCAAAUAUUAGCAACAGAACCAGUAUCAAAUACCCAGGUGCUACUGCGAGCUCUAGUAAGGUACACAUCAAUAACAUGUAUAUCACAUAUACCUUUGUUCACCUUGCCAUCCUUCUUAUCCGCCAAAUACUUGGGGCAGUUCCGCUUCCAGUGACAAGUCUGCUUGCAGUAGAAGCACUCAGUUUCAGGCUUAGGUCCAGACUUGGGUUUCUUCUCUUGAGCAACAACUUGUUUGCUGUUCUUCUUGAAGUUCCCCUUCUUCUUCCCUUUGCCCUUUUUCAUGAAACUAGUGGUCUUGUUGACCAUCAACACUUGAUGCUCCUUCUUGAUUUCUACCUCCGCAGCCUUUAGCAUUGCGAAGAGCUCGGGAAUCGUCUUAUCCAUCCCUUGCAUAUUAUAGUUCAUCACGAAGCUCUUGUAGCUUGGUGGAAGUGAUUGGAGAAUUCUGUCAAUGACGCUAUCAUCCGGAAGAGUAACUCCCAGUUGAAUCAAGUGAUUACAAUACCCAGACAUCUUGAGUAUGUGCUCACCGACAGAACUAUUCUCCUCCAUCUUGCAGCUAUAGAACUUAUUGGAGACUUCGUAUCUCUCAAUCCGGGCAUUCUUCUGGAAUAUUAACUUCAACUCCUGGAACAUCUCAUAUGCUCCAUGACGUUCAAAACGUCGUUGAAGUCCCGGUUCUAAGCCGUAAAGCAUGGCACAUUGAACUAUCGAGUAGUCAUCAGCUUUGCUCUGCCAGACAUUCUUAACAUCGUCAGUUGCAUCAGCAGCAGGCCUGGCACCCAGCGGUGCUUCCAGGACGUAAUUUUUCUGUGCAGCAAUGAGGAUAAUCCUCAAGUUAUGGACCCAGUCCGCGUAGUUGCUACCAUCAUCUUUCAACUUAGCUUUCUCAAGGAACGCAUUAAAAUUCAACGGAACAACAACACUGGCCAUCUAUCUACAAUCAACAUAGAUAAGCAAGAUACUAUCAGGUACUAAGUUCAUGAUAAAUUUAAGUUCAAUUAAUCAUAUUACUUAAGAACUCCCACUUAGACAGACAUCUCUCUAGUCAUCUAAGUGAUCACGUGACCCAAAUCAACUAAACCAUAAGCGUCAGGUGAACAUCUUAUGUUGAUCAUAUCUACUAUAUGAUUCACGCUCGACCUUUCGGUCUCGUGUUCCGAGGCCAUAUCUGCAUAUGCUAGGCUCGUCAAGUUUAACCUGAGUAUUCUGCGUGUGCAAAACUGGCUUGCACCCGUUGUAGAUGGACGUAGAGCUUAUCACACCCGAUCAUCACGUGGUGUCUGGGCACGACGAACUUUGGCAACGGUGCAUACUCAGGGAGAACACUUCUUGAUAAUUUUUAGUGAGAGAUCAUCUUAAAAUGCUACCGUCAAUCAAAGCAAGAUAAGAUGCAUAAAGGAUAAACAUCACAUGCAAUCAAUAUAAGUGAUAUGAUAUGGCCAUCAUCAUCUUGUGCUUGUGAUCUCCAUCUCCGAAGCACCAUCAUGAUCACCAUCGUCACCGGUGCGACACCUUGAUCUCCAUCGUAGCAUCGUUGUCAUUUACGCCAUCUAUUGCUUCUACGACUAUCGCUACCGCUUAGUGAUAAAGUAAAGCAAUUACAGGGUGUUUGCAUUUCAUACAAUAAAGCGACAACCAUAUGGCUCCUGCCAGUUGCCGAUAACUUCGGUUACAAAACAUGAUCAUCUCAUACAAUAAAAUAUAGCAUCAUGUCUUGGCCAUAUCACAUCACAACAUGCCCUGCAAAAACAAGUUAGACGUCCUCUACUUUGUUGUUGCAAGUUUUACGUGGCUGCUACAGGCUUAAGCAAGAACCGAUCUCACCUACGCAUCAAAACCACAACGAUAGUUUGUCAAGUUGAUGCUGUUUUAACCUUCGCAAGGACCGGGCGUAGCCACACUCGGUUCAACUAAAGUUGGAGAAACUGACACCCGCUAGUCACCUGUGUGCAAAGCACGGCGGUAAAACCAGUCUCGCGUAAGCGUACGCGUAAUGUCGGUCCGGGCCGCUUCAUCCAACAAUACCGCCGAACCAAAGUAUGACAUGCUGGUAAGCAGUAUGACUUAUAUCACCCACAACUCACUUGUGUUCUACUCGUGCAUAUAACAUCAAACCAUAAAAACCUAGGGUCGGAUGCCACUGUUGGGGAACGUAGUAAUUUCAAAAAAUUUCCUACGCACACGCAAGAUCAUGGUGAUGCAUAGCAACGAGAGGGGAGAGUGUUGUCUACGUACCCUCGUAGACCGAAGCGGAAGCGUUGACGCAACGUAGAGGAAGUAGUCGUAUGUCCUCCUGGUCCAACCGAUCCAAGCACCGUUACUCCGGCACCUCCGAGUUCUUGACACACGUACAACUCGAUGACGCACCCCGAUCUCCGAUCCAGCAGAGGAGCGGGGAGGAGUUCCGUCAGCACGACGGCGUGGUGACGAUCUUGAUGUUCUACUGUCGCAGGGCUUCGCCUAAGCACCGCUACAAUAUGACCGAGGUGUAAUCUUGUGGAGGGGGGCACCGCACACGGCUAAGGAACGAUCUCAAUGAUCAACUUGUGUGUCUAUGGGGUGCCCCUCGCCCCCGUAUAUAAAGGAGGGAGGGAGGAGGAGGCCGGCCCAAGGGGGAGGCGCGCCCUAGGGGGGGCAAACCUACUCCAAGUAGGUUUGGCCCCCCUUUCCUAUUAGGAGUAGGAGAAGGAAGGAAGAGGGGGGAGGAGAGAAGGAAAGGGGGGCCCGGCCCCCCUCCCAAUUCGGAUUGGCCUUGGGGGGGGGGGGCGCCCCCUCCCUUGCUCCUUCUCCCUCCCUUCCACUAAGGCCCAAUAAGGCCCAUAUACUUACCGGGGGGUUCCGGUAACCUCCCGGAACUCCGGUAUAAUCCCAAUCUCAUCCGGAACCUUUCCGGUGUCCAAAUAUAUCCGUCCAAUAUAUCAAUCUUCAUGUCUCGACCAUUUCGAGACUCCUCGUCACGUCCGUGAUCACAUCCUGGACUCCGAACAACCUUCGGUACAUCAAAAUACAUAAACUCAUAAUAUAACUGUCAUCGAAACCUUAAGCGUGCGGACCCUACGGUUCGAGAACAAUGUAGACAUGACCGAGACACGUCUCCGGUCAAUAACCAAUAGCGGGACCUGGAUGCCCAUAUUGGUUCCUACAUAUUCUACGAAGAUCUUUAUCGGUCAAACCGCAUAACAACAUACGUUGUUCCCUUUGUCAUCGGUAUGUUACUUGCCCGAGAUUCGAUCGUCGGUAUCCAAUACCUAGUUCAAUCUCGUUACCGGCAAGUCUCUUUACUCGUUCCGUAAUACAUCAUCUCGCAACUAACUCAUUAGCUGAAAUGCUUGCAAUGCUUAAGUGAUGUGUAUUACCGAGAGGGCCCAGAGAUACCUCUCCGACAUUCGGAGUGACAAAUCCUAAUCUCGAAAUAUGCCAACUCAACAAGUACCUUUGGAGACACCUGUAGAGCACCUUUAUAAUCACCCAGUUACGUUGUGACGUUUGGUAGCACACAAAGUGUUCCUCCGGUAAAUGGGAGUUGCAUAAUCUCAUAGUAACAGGAACAUGUAUAAGUCAUGAAGGAAGCAAUAGCAACAUACUAAACGAUCGGGUGCUAGGCUAACGGAAUGGGUCAUGUCAAUCAGAUCAUUCAAAAAUGAUGUGACCUUGUUAAUCAAAUAACAACUCCUUGUUCAUGGUUAGGAAACAUAACCAUCUUUGAUUAACAAGCUAGUCAAGUAGAGGCAUACUAGUGACACUCUGUUUGUCUAUAUAUUCACACAUGUAUUAUGUUUCCAGUUAAUACAAUUCUAGCAUGAAUAAUAAACAUUUAUCAUGAUAUAAGGAAAUAGAUAAUAACUUUAUUAUUGCCUCUAGGGCAUAUUUCCUUCACUAGAUGCAUGCUGGAUAGCGGUUGAUGUGUGGAGUAAUAGUAGUAGAUGUAGGCAGGAGUCGGUCUACUUGUUAUGGACGUGAUGCCUAUAUACAUGAUCAUGCCUAGAUAAUCUCAUAACUAUGCGCUUUUCUAUCAAUUGCUCGACAGUAAUUUGUUCACCCAUCGUAAUACUUAUGCUAUCUUGAGAGAAGCCACUAGUGAAACCUAUGGCCCCCGGGUCUAUCUCUUAUCAUAUUUGCUUUCAAUCUACUUUUAUUUGCAUCUUUACUUUUUGCAUCUAUAUUAUAAAAUACCAAAAAUAUAUUUAUCUUAUCAUACUAUCUUUAUUAGAUCUCACUUUGGCAAGUGGCUGUGAAGGGAUUGACAACCCCUUUAUUGCGUUGGUUGCGAGUUCUCAGUUUGUUUGUGUAGGUGCAUGGGACUUUUGAGGAGCCUCCUACUGGAUUGAUACCUUGGUUCUCAAAACUGAGGGAAAUACUUACGCUACACUUGCUGCAUCACCCUCUCCUCUUCGAGGAAAACCAACGCAAGCUCAAGACGUAGCAGGGGCAUGCUCAACCAAAACGUCUCGCCUAGGCAUGUGUAGAGCAUCUAAAACCGGACCCCCAUAUCAGCCCCAAACGCCUUCAUCAACUAGAUAGGUGUAGCGACAGUUUGUUUCUUAGACGGCGGGUUUAGUCUUACUGUUGUAUGACUUUGUAAGGUCUUGUGAUAAUAAUUAAUAAAGUGGUCGUAUGCAUGGCCCAGAUGCAGAGGCCGGGGUCAUCCUCUUUUUCUAAAAAAAAUACCAGCCCCAAACGCCUGGGCAGGUUGCCCGAUCAGUGCACAAACUCAAAAACGCACCCAACCACGCCUUGCAAAUCCGGUCUAAAUACCCGGACUGGCUGGCACUUCCCAUAGCCAGCCCAUAUCUGGCCCAUGGCCCACCCGACCCCAUAUACAUUGGACCCUAUCCACACUCCGGAUGAAACCCUAGUCAUAUUCACUCCCCUCCAGUCCAAUUCCCUCCGUCCACAAGCUCUUGUCCGACGAUCUACACCCUUAUCCAACAUGACAGGCAGUGGAACCGAGUCUUAAACCUCUCAAUCUGUUGACCCGGAGCUCAUCCCACGUGGGCUCGAGGAGGAGAUGGUCAUCUGACUCCAUCCAGUGGGAAUCCUUUGUGUUCGCCCAAAUGGCACAUGGAUGCGGCCCAAGGGUAGGUUUCGCUGCCUCGCGGAGGAUGUGCGGUCCGUGUAGCGUCCGAACGACAUGGCGGAUGCGCAACCCCUCAGUUGGUGCUCGGAAUCGGAGGUGCACAACCUCUUCACGUUCGACACAAAUAUGGUGUCGUGUGAAGCAGCGGGGGCGGGAGGCCGUGGCAGGCUGGCCGCCCUCACAGCAGAUGCGGCGAGGCGGAGUCGCACUCUCCGGCACCGUGUAUGGUGCAUGACAACCCUUGCCGCUGCAAACGCAUCAUGGUGGACGUGACCGGUUCCGACCACGACGAAUCCAUCAUCUCGAUCCUCACAUCCACCGGCGACAUGCAGGGCACGAGCUCUAAUGAGGAAGAAUGGGGCAUGGGAGACGGCGACGCUUCGAGUCCUGUGAGCCAGUGCGUGUCUCAUGUCCUAUUCUACCUCGCCGGUGACCCCACCAACACUUCGUGGGGCGCAGCCGGCCAUUGGAUAUGGACAUGGCCGGAACAACACGAACAGUCGCAGGCAAAAAUGCAAAGUAGUUUUACGUUUCAUGUAAUCUUAUGGAUGUGAUGAUUUGCAAAUGGGCCAUCCGGUUAUGGAAAAAAAAAUUGUGUGCUGACCGGUCAUUCCUUGGACAUGCUCAAAAGCAUAUUAGUUCAGAAAGUAAUAAGUAUGAAGCCUGUAACUAAUUCUGAAUUUUUACAUCAAUUUUUUUUUUCUGAAUUUCUCCUCCCGGGCUUCCCUCUCCUUCCUGUUGCUCCAUUGGGCUCCUCUUUCAGAAGCACAUUCAGUAGAAGAAAAAAUUUGAGUAUGAAGAAGAACCAUAUUUAAGAUAUAAACAGCAAAAUUCAGUACAUGCCAAAUUUAGUAGCUUCAGAAAUUUAUAAGAUUGAUACACAUCAUUUUGGGCUGUGCUCAAGAACAAUGCUACAAACUAUACAAUUUAAGAUUGGUUUUUGUACCACCAAAUCUCCCUAAAUCCAUAUUAGCCAUGAAUUUUCUAUCUGUCUUAGUAUCCUUCAUUCAUCGAUAGGAUGCAGAGGUGUCCAGGUUUUUAACUGAAGAAGUCCAAUUUAUGGACUGAGAAACUGAAGACGUUCUACUUCUUUCUUCAGUGACAAGAACGACGCGUCCGGAAUUAAAACAGCUGGAUUAACAGCGCGUGAGAUUGCCGCAGCCGAGCUCGAGUUCGAUCCCAGUUCCAAUUCAACCGGCGACAGCUCCAAUCCGAGUUGGGCAAGAAUUAGGAGCUCUCCCCUGAAUAAAUGGGCGGCGGCGGUGGGAGGAGCAGCUCCAGUUCGAUCUGCUCGCCCACCUUCCCCAUCUCCAGACCUAGGCACGCCAUCGAUGGCGGCCAAGGUGCUCCAGCUCCGCAGCACCGACGGCAAGGUGCUCGUCGCUCCGGCGUGGGACUAUCGCCCGGCCACCGCCCAAGCCCGCCCGCUGGAGAUGCGGGUGCCAUCGCGCGCCCUCGAGAGGGUGCUCCAGUACUGGACCAAGCACAGCCUGGCCAAGGCCACCGGUGAGUCCCGGGAGUCCCUCGCCCGCUGGGACGCUGACUUCCAGCGCCGUCUCGAGGAAGACGGCCUCGCCAAGGAGGCCGCCGCAGCCGCCCAAGAACUCCGCCGCCACGGCAUCCACCAUGGAGGGCGUCCCCGUCGCCACGCCGGCACGGGCGCAUCUGGUGUCGCUGCUCCAGCCACCGCUACCCGUGCUGAUCCCGUCCGUGCCUGGUGCCAACUCGUUCACCACCUCAAGGGUGUCGACCACGGAGAACCUAGCCCAGCGCCGACGGUGCCCAUCGCUUUCCAUGCCUCUGCCGUCGCCGCGCGCCCUGGGCUUGCCACCACCUUGCCGGCCGCUGCUGGUGCUCAACCCAUUGGUGUCCGGUGCGCCAUCCGUGCCCGUGGACGCCAGAGGACUGAAGACGAGGAGUCCGCUUGCCACCACCGCAAGCUCACGGCUUCCAAGGCUUCCAAGCCUCGCUCUUCGGUCUGCCUGCCUGCCACUGCUGCUGCGCCCGUGAAGAAGGUCUCUCGUCAGGUCGCUUCCAAGGCUUGCUCUUUCGUCGGCUCUACACCACUGCCUGCCCCUGCCACUGCUGUGAAGAAGAUGACUCCAGCAGCUUCAACUCUGCGCGCAAGAAGGGGGAUGGGGGAGCUCAGCUGCAAGGUUCCAAAGCAAAACCAAUCGCCAUUGCCUGUCAUUGCUGUUGCAGCACCAAUGAAGCAACCAAUUCCUUGGCUACGUCCAGUGGUAUUACGCCUUCCCUAGUAUUUUAGUUGCUUCCUAAACCAUGCACACAUAAGUUUCAUUUAAUCUUUGCAUCUCUAGGUUCUGCACUUGCUUACCAAGAUUUCUAGUGUUCUUUGAAUCCCGUUCAGUCAUUAGUAAUUUUACUAGAGUGUCAGCAGAGUCUCCAUCUAGUCUAGGCAGCAAAAACCUUGUUAAGAUGUGUACGACAUAGUUACCACUGCAUCCAUACCUGGUCCUAAGUUAAGGGUUUAAGUAAAUAAAGGGCAUUUUCAAUAAAUCAAAGUAAGCAGAUGAGCCUAAAAAGGAAACUCAUGUACUGCAAUUCCGGCACGAGACAGAGCGUAAAACGCACUCGCCGCAAAAUCCAAAACGCCUGUUUGCUACCCGGCUUGUAGCAGGAAAAAAGGAGUAGAAUUGAACUUGUCGAUACACACGUAAUCUUGUGAGCUGCCUAGCGUUUGGAGACUAUGCUGACUCUCCUGUAAAAUUAAUCUUGGCUGACUUGGAUUCUUAGGCAUUGGCAUCAUGGUGAGUUAAGUUGCAGUUUCCGACGAGUAACAUUGGUUAGUGAACUCUUGUGUGUAUGUGUGGGUGAAGCUUUGAGCUAAGCAAGUCCUCAAUGUACCGACUAUCAAGUCCUUGAUGUACCGACUACCAAGUCAUACUGUAAUCAGUUUUCAGAUAUGAAUGAAAAAUUGUUGGGCUGAAUUUGAGCAGAGCAUUUGAG
This 71913-nucleotide long non-coding RNA is filed under the name Triticum aestivum (bread wheat). RNAcentral's name for it is "long non-coding RNA (TAES_LNC022028)". Lineage: Eukaryota; Viridiplantae; Streptophyta; Magnoliopsida; Poales; Poaceae. The record is from RNAcentral.